Molecule: long non-coding RNA, 49140 nt
Filed under: Vitis vinifera (wine grape)
Lineage: Eukaryota; Viridiplantae; Streptophyta; Magnoliopsida; Vitales; Vitaceae
Description: long non-coding RNA (VVIN_LNC002552)
Source: RNAcentral
UGAAAAUUGGGUUUAGGUCUAGGAUUUAGGCCUCUACCACUCUGUGUAGAUUUGUUUUACGAUAUAUAACAAUAACAAAACCUCAAAUAACUAAGGAUCAUGAAUUACUAAGAAUUCCUAGUAUCAAGGAAUGGGCUAUUGUACCAUCCUUUAAUUCAAACUAACAUUAGAGGAUAUCUCUAUUUUAUUUAUUAUGCCUCAACCUUUCAUUCAUUUUAUUUUUAGUUUGAUUUUACCCAUUAUUUUCCCUUGGCUCUAACUCUUAAGUUUUCAUGUUUCAUACCCCAAGAUAGCUUUUUAAGCCUCUCAUGGUGUUGAUUUCAUUUACACAAUCCAUAAAAGAAGAAUAAAGAAUCAUUAUUUAAUAAAAGAAAUUAGAAACAAUUUAUUAAAGUAAUAAAAUAAAGAAAAUAAACUAAGAAUUUUCAAUAUCGUCUUCUACCUCCAAGAAUAUCCAAGAACUCCUAAAAAGGAAGUCAAAAGCUAAGUUGACACAUGGCAAGAUCUUAGAGAAUAUGUAAAGUCUUCUUUCCAAAUCAAGGGCUCUCAAUCAAAAUUGUAAAAUUUGAAUCAUGAGAGCCUUUAGUGAAAAGUUAUUAAUUUUGCACCAGGAUACUCCAUUUUGCAUGGUCAUGCAAAAUUUAUUCCCAUUGCUCUCUCAGCAUGCUCUCUGGUGUAUUCAGCAUGUUCAUGCGAAAAUUCGCAUGUUCAUAUCAUAUGAAAGUGAUUCCAAUAGGUUUUUGAGCUGCUACAAAAGUGAGCUUUCUGGUCUAUUUCACACGUUCAUGGGAAAAUUCACAUGAACAUGCGAGCGAAACUGAUAUUUCUUUGGUUUCUCUUUGCCUAGUUUUCUUCAAUCACCCAUAUCUUCCUCGUUUCAACUUUGAUUUGCACACUGAUUGAAGUAUAGGAUUUUUGACUUUUCGAGCUUUGAAACGAUAUAUAGCAUGCCCAAAAAUGACCUUGGGAAGUACUCCAAAUUUUACCUCAAAUUCAUAGUAUAUGUUAUUGCCAAAUUUUGAUUUCUUAUUAGAAUGUUUGAACUUUAAGCAUAUCUGUCAACCUUCUUUCUUGUGUUUGUUUGCUUUCCAACUCUUUCCAUAACUUUCAUUUCUCAUCUCUCAUGCUAUGAAUUACUCCAUUUUCAUUUGUCAAAACUUUUCUCGUGUUUCACACUCUUGGAGCUCACUCUAAGCAUAUCUAGUCUUUUCUCUACCAUGACUGUAAAUAACUUCUUCAACUUGCACCAUUUUCAUCCUUUAAACCUGAGAUUUAACUUAAGAUAUAUGUUAGAUCCAUGGCUAGGAUCUUAGCAACAAUUCAAGUUGGGUUGGGUGAAUUGGGCCUUUACAUUUGCAUAAUUCAUUACCAUAUGUGCCACAAUUUAAGGCUCUAAUCAAUGCAUCACCCAGCCAGAUUAGAUUAGACUGGCGAGAUGGCAGCUAAAUCAUGUUCUAUUUGCAUUCUUAAUUUGCAGUCGUGAUACCUGGAAAUCUCUUAGGCAUGCAUGUUAAAUUUUCAGCUGCGUGUAAUGUCUUUGUAUAUCAUUUUAUUUCAUUUAUUUUUAUUUUUAUUUUGUUUUUCCUGUUGAAACAUGUUUUAUUUCGUCUUUUCUCAGGCAAUGUUUCAAUGGGCAAAGACUUGAAGAUGGGCAUAUCUAGACAUUUGGAUUUACAACUUGAGCAUCCAGUUAAGGUUCCAACUGCUCUUGUGGGUACAAAUCAAAGUAUUUUUUCUGACGUUGACUCUAAUAAAUUUAGUGAGGCAAGGAAUAAUUGACAGGGUGAUAGCUCAUCCAGAAAUUUGGAGAAAACUGCUGAUCAGAUACAUGUAAUCCCCAAGAUCACUUGGCUUUUAUGGACAGCAGAGAGUUGAAGAUCCAAAUGGACCCUUAAAGAUAUCAGAUAUCAAUAAUGAAACUGUUAAUGAUGCAAAAGAACCACCAUUGCUUGAUCUUACUUUCAAGAGGAUUACAAAAGUUGAACACACAACAAACACAGUUCAGGAUGACGGCAAUCUCUUGUGACAGUUGGGCCUUUCAGCCUUCUCAAGGUAUGAGGAGGCUUAGGAUCCAGAAAAUAUUUUUGCUGUUUAUGAUGGAAUCUUGAACAGAUUCUUCCAUUUGUUGUUCGCUGCUAUUCAGUUACAGUGUAGCCUCAAAUGCUAAUAAGUCCCAUUGCAGGAACGUGGAAGGCGGUUCUCCAUGUGAUAAUAGCUCAAAGUAGAAAGGAAUUGACAUGUAAUUUUCAAUCUCAUUCAAGUGCCAAAUCUCCCAAUCAGUGCUCAUAUGGGGGAACCAGUAGUUUUGAUCUGGGCUCUGCAACUGAAAAAAAAAUAUUCUUAGUUCUCCAAUGGUUUGAUUAGCAAGGGCUUAAGCUUUUUACUUUUCCUCUGUUUUAAUUUUUGGACAGUUAUCUUGUUAUAGGUGCUAAUGUUGGCUGCUGUUUUCCUGUCUAUUAUUUCCUAUGAUCUUCUUUUCUGUGCUAAUGGUGACCUCCCCAACACCAUGAAAAAAUGAAGGGGAAAAGGAAGAAGAAAAAGAAGUGGCAUUAACAUCAGUGGUCAAAUGUUCACAUCCAUGCCCUGCUUUCUGACCUAUGAAAGUUGAUCUUUUAUGUUACCACAGUUUGUUGGAUUAGAUAAGAGGCUAAUGAGAUGGCAGUCAAAACUCAUUCUGGCUGAACAAGAGGGACGUGCUUGGAUCUCCAUAUUUGGCCUCUUAACCAUCAACACUAACCUGUCUAAAACAUAAAACACCGGUUGCCACUAAGCCAUGAGGUGUUGUGAUUGAAAAAAAUGACAGCAGCUGCUCCAAAAUGUGGCUCUUCCAACUGUCUGGGCUUGCCUGCUGAAGGUAACACAGGAAGUAAUGGGUUGGAAGCAUGUCAAAUAGUAAAAGUGGAGGCAAUGGCCUGAACAUGAGCAGCACAAUGUUGAAGGCUAUGGGGAUAAACAUAGGAGGUGAUAAUGUGAUAGCUGGGAAAAAUGGAAGUGUUGAUGCUAGUGAGAAGGAAUGGAAGCAAUGGAAACAAAAUAGAUCUCAGAGAGAAGCAGCUUUGGUCAAAUUUCAUUAAGAGAGAAAGGAGAGAUGUAUGAUGCUUCAAAAAUAAGGUAACUAGCUUAGUUGUUUAGAAAAAUGUUGCAUCCCUCAGAUAAAUAUCCAAGAGGCAUGUGGGAGAUGCCUAUGAUUUUGCAAAAGGUAUAGGCAUUCCAUCAUGUCUAGCUAGAUAACUCAUUUGUAGGAAAUAACAUUGCUAAGUUGUUCUUUCACUAAUGCUAGGUGUUGGUGAAUUAUUGAAUAAAAAAAUUCUGUUCCACUUAUCUUCUGUUAGUUCUGUCCAAGUGUAUCUUUAUGCUAGCAGAAGUUAGUUUUCUUUUACAUUCUGCUUAUCAUAUUGAUUAGUAUGAAAUUAGAAACCUAAAAAGUACUCAUUCUAGAACCUACUGGUGAGCCCAUAUGGCAUAUUGAAAGACGCAUCAACAAGAUGACAAGUUGAGAGCUAGCAUAUGUUUUUUGGGUGUAAUGAAAAACACUGCAAGAAGUAAUCAAGCUUGAUGUUGUCAUAGCUUAUCAUAAAAAAAAGAAGAAAAGCUUGAUGUUGUCAUAUAGCCUAAUCAAGCUAGUAUGUGAUGUAUCAUAGGUCUGUUCUUAUCCAUAGUUUGCAUGUCUAGGUUUUUCCUUGAAUUUUCAUCCUUAUAUUUGGUCCUAGGGUUUUCUGUAAUUAUUUUUCAGACCUGGUGCUUCCAUCCUUCUACUCAUGGGAAAUGAUUUCCCAUUUCAUAGCAGGCUACCUGGAUUUCUCAGCCACCCGAACCUCCUCAUACUUCUUAAUGUCAUGCAUGAUAUAAUAAGUUGUCCAUCUUGACUCCUUUAGUACUUUUCUUAACAUAGGAGAUGGAACCUUAGAGAAGUAUGAUGGCUAAAACUGCAACAAGGUUUCAGCAAACCACUAAGUUAAAAAUGAUCCGACUAGUUUUCCUGAAUUAGCAACUUUUCUUUGUGCCUCCUGUUGGCCAGAAGCUGUUACUUGUGAAAUUGGGUAUUACAAUGACCAAUAGAACAUGGGAACUAGUUGACUAAGUGCACCAGAGAGUUGGAGGCCUACCAUGUAGAAGCAAAGCUGUUGGCUGGAAAUGAUGUUUCUUUCUUUUUCUUAUUCUUUUAGGCAUUGAACUUGAUGGAUAAGUGGUCAAACAAAAUGGAUUAGUAGUUAAUUGAACCCAUAAUAAUAGUCUGUUGUACCAUAACUAGACUAUUAUUGUUGUUUAAGAAUGAAGUCAUGUAUUUUUACAAGAAUGAACUUAUGUACCAUUUGCAAACAACUUUGAACCUUACAUAGAUCAUAAUAGGAUCCAGAAAAAUAUACUGAUAGUUAAAUUUUUAGGGCAAACAAUAAUGACAAUUGAGAAGUGCAGAUAUUAUUCAAAGUGUGUUUUUAAUAUUAGUAGGUUGAUUAUCUUCUUCCAGAGUGAUCAUCAUUAUAUGGUGAAAAUUUUAAUUUGAUUACAGGUUCUAUGGUUGGUAAGUAUGGUUUCAUGUAGGGACAUCAGAACUUUGCAACUAGCCUAUCUCCCACCAUCUUACUAUAUUCUGGUGACUAGACCAUUAAAGUGAGGAAUCCUGGCAUCGUGGUAAAAAAAUCUUACAAUGUUUAUUGAGAUCAAAAGGUCUGCUAAGAAAUGUACUAUUAGUGGAACUAUCAGAAUAAAUUGAUAGGGAAAGGGACUAAAAAGUAAUGGAUUAUAAAAAAUAACCAAACUACAUAUGUACGUCGGGAUUGCAAGAUCUAGUUGUGAUGGAGAAGUAAAGUUCUUAAGUAACUUUUGAGCAAUAACAAGUAGUCUUGAGGGAGCUCUGUGACUAUUCUCUAAUGCUGUAAUAACAGAGAGAUGAGUUUUUUUAUAUUUUUGAUAGAUAAACAACAAUAUAUAUAAAAAGGGCCAAAAAGCCACAAGUAUACGGGGGUAUACACAGAAGCCCAAAACAAUAAACUGAAAGAAGAAAGGGGGAGAAACCUUGCCAACCCUCAAGUGGUCAACAGAGAGAUGAGUUAUUUAAUAUUAGCUAUCCAUGGAAUAUAUAGUUACUCAAUGUCUUUGAUAAGGAAACCCAUUUGUGUGUGGAAGCAAGGUUCCAUUUGAACACAUGUUGAUUCCUCAAACUAUUGGUGGUAAGAGGUCUACUGAACUCUGAAAAUGCAUGAACAAUAGAACUUGACAAUGGCUUGAAAAGAUGUGUCACUUUCAGAUAAGAAUCUUGUUGAGCAGCAGCUUUAGAAGACAAAAUGUUUUAACCACUAGAAAGGUUCACAUGCAAAUGCAAAAGACACCCUUCUCAUGCAGUGUAUCAUUUCAUCCUAUACUGAUAAAUUUGUAAAAUAUUGGGGAGGGUUAGAUUGUCUAAAGUAAGCCAUGUUUUUUCAAAUAUAUUCAUUUAUUCUUUUAGCUUGUUCUUAGAAUGUGUGCAUGUUUGUAAGAGAGAGUUUUCCCUUUGUUUUUUGAAUGGGUUACCCCUAGUAAGUAGGAGAAUUGGCACCUAAUGGCUUGAAGUCAGUAGUCCCAGCUUUGGGUCCAUGUUUUUUGAAUGCGUUACCCUCGGUCAGUAGGAGAAUUGGCACCUCUAAUGGCUUAAACUCAACAGUCCCAGAUUUUGGUGCAUUUGAGCAUGCUUCCAUGCUAGCCUAUUAACCCACCCAUUGGAAAUGCAUGCUUUGUUUACAUUUUGAAUCCUUGCAUGUUUAUACAUUUUGAGCUCUUACAAAGUUUUCAUUUCUGUUUUCAAACAGGUACUCUGAACAAAUACAGUUGUCCCCUUGAACUAGUUUGGAGGUUACCUUCUUAUGGAUAUUCAAAAGCCCAAAAUCUCGCCUUCCAGAUCAGCUAGUGAUCAAGAUUCUUCAAUCUAUCUUCAUGAAAUUUUCUCUUAUCAUAGAUACAGUUUAAAUUUUCUCUUAUCAUAUUGGCUGGCAAGUAUUAUUUUCAUUAAAUCUUAUAUUUGGCACAUACUGUGUAACACAACUUGCUGUUUCUUACAUUGGCAAGGACAUACAAUAUGAUGCAACAGAACAGAACAGAUAGUAUACAUAUGUGAAGAUGCUCAAAAAUCUUCAUGGAUAACUGAAAAUUUCUUAUUCCUUAUUUUCUGGAUACAGAGUGGGUUUUUUCAAAGGGGGAGGACUCUCUUUCUCUUAGUUACCCGUGAUUUCUUUUUACAGGCAUUUUUCUGUAUAGGUGCUGGCAUUCUUGUGAAGGGGUUGGCUUUUCUGCAAGCUGCCACAUGCUUUGUUGACUAUUGGGAAUAUGGGGACAAGAGUAGUUGUGCUCAUCUUUUUAGGCGCAGGUCCGUCGGUCAGGUCAAUGGUCAACCUGCAAGUUUGGAGGUCAUUUUUUUUUCAUGGUCCUUAUUUUAGGGUGAGGUGAAUUUGUGCACCCUCAGGUUUUGAGAUAGACCAUUCUCCUGGUGGUUUUAUUUUUGGUAGCUCCAAUAUGUAUGUCUAUAUAAUCAAUAUAUAUGUAUCACAUAUGCCCCCAAUGUUUUCCAAGUGGAACAGACUUCGAUAUUUUUUUUUGUGUUCAGCUAUCAAAACAGCUGUUUUGUUGCUAUUGAACAAAAGAUAAGCUUGCUUGUCAAGUGUUUAGAGACUUGGACAAAAGAUAAAUGAGGGUGUAAGGUAGGGGAGGAUUUAUGUAUAUGGGGACAGCUUCCUCCUGGGAUAAAAAACAAGAAAAAGUGAGUUGGUUGUUUCAUCUUUUCUUCAGAUGCAAUACUCUGGAUUACAUAUCAUUGUUGAAAAUUUGGAUAGAACCAACUGUUUGUUUUGAUUUUUAGGUUUGAUGUCAGACCAGGGAGAUGAUGGUCAGAAAAUUUGUGUGGAAGAUGUUCAUAACAAUGCAAGCAGGAGCACGAUGGAUUCUUUUGAAAUGCUACAACUGCCCCUACUUUUAAAGGUAAAUCCACACACAUUUUAUGUACCAUCACCUUUAUAAACAUAACUCUUAAAAUAAAAGUCAUGUCAUUAUCAAAUAGUGAGAGAUCAUGAGUUCAAAAUUCACCACAUGUUUAUUUCCCCAAUUUAUUGAGCCCAUGUGCAAAGCUUAAAGGAGGUUGUCGGGAUUUGUUUGCCUACAGGCCUGUGUGUCUUCACAUGCAGCUAUGGGGCCAUAGAUGACAGAUGGUGUUAGAGAUUAUAAUACAAACAACUUAAACUUUUAGGAAAACCAAUUGUUCAAGGCAAAAGAAUAAUGCAAGUCAUUUUACCACCUACAAGGCAAGGUGAAAACUCCGAAGCAGAAAGCCUUUCCCUUUUGAUCUUUACAUAUAAGAAUAUAAUAACGUACAAAGUUAGAAAAAUAUUGUACCCUUGUAUCAAGUAGCACAAGUAGCAAAAGAAGGUGUGGUACCAACAUGGAAACCAAGUAUGAAGCAAAACAAUUAGGCAUCAACAGUUCCACAAAGUUAAAGCACUUUCUACUAGAUUAAGACAACUAACCAUUUUUUUCAACAUGAUUUCAAUAGCCUAAAUAUCAAUAGUGAUUAAAUUACGAGAAAAAAAAAAUUAGAAACUCUUGGAACUCUAGUUACCUGACAAUACCCAACAGAGGGGUUAUGUUGAGCAUGCGCUAAAAGCAAAUGCCUUAAGGAAUCUCUACCAACCUUGUCUAGAGCAGGAUGGCCUGGGAAUGUUCGAGGCAAAUCCUGAAUAGAGAACACGUGAAGUUAGGCUAGGGAGAUGCCUAGAGUGCAAUACAAGGUACAAGUAGUAGCACCUACGAAUCAAAAAGAUUGAACGAUGAAGUCCAAGGCCCAUGCAUCUAAUGACCUUCUCAAUCUGCCUUCUCCAUUUCUCAGGUAUGGCAUGAUCUGCAUUGGGCUGCUUACUGCCAUUGACUGAUAAAGAGCUGCCAUAAUCCUUGCCCUCACCAGCAUUAGUUUCUGAAGCUAUCAAAUUCUGGUAAUAUCUCUCCAUUCUGCGUUUUCUUGCACCAACAAAUGCUUGCCAUACCUGUAAUGUCAAUAUAAUAGUAACAUACAUAAUAAUUUCUCUCUAACAUGAGAACACGAAAACCAACCAAUUCAAUAGUAUCAACUGCACCUCUCCCCUGAGAGCCUUUGGCAGUCCCCCACGAACAAGGCACACUAGUUCUUUUUUCCAAGGAAAGAAAGGUUCUGGUGAGAUCCCAUUAGCAGCAGCACUUGCUUCCAAGGAUUCAUUCCCACUGUCAUCUGAUAUCAAAUUAAAAGAGAGCACUUCCUCAAAGUCCUCUUCAAUGGAUGGAGGAUGAUUUCGACCUAUCUGCUCAUCUUUCAUAUUCUCUCUCCUUAAUGUGUAAACUCAUUGUACUCUCGAUGGCACUAAGGGACAAUCGAAUCCAGGCCCAUUUUCGGACCUUACCAGCUUUUGUUUCUUUUGCCACCAACACCUCCUUUUGUUGGUCACUUUCGGUUGAACCAUCAGAAACAGACUUCUUGCUACUUGACACAUUCCCUUCCCCACCCCUCCCUGGAACAGACUCUGCUUCCUCCCGUGUAAUUUCAGUAAGCAAAGUGUUGUUAUAUUCCUCCGCAAAAGCACAAACUAGAGAAGACUACUUUUGCUGUUCAAGGAAUUGCUUCCAUUUAUGUAUCCUCUCCUCUUCCUCCUCCUGAAUACAUUGACACAGAGCUGACUAGAAAAUGGUCCUUGCUAUUUAAUGCUAGAAACAUGGCUUCAUCAAAUCAAAUAUCAAAUAUUAAUGCGUAACAAUGUUGGUCAUCUGAUGAUUCAUCUUUAGCUUAUUUGCUGAGAAAAGUAAGGGAGGGGGAAGAAAAAGAAAGAUAACUUUGAGUAUUUCAUCUGGGUCCCUCAAAUAUGAGAAACUCAACUCAACUAAGCCAAAGAACAUAUUCCACCCCAUUUAGUGGUUCCUUGUUUUCCUAGGUUCCUAAUAUAAUAAAAUGCCUAAAAGUCGUAUACACAAUGUGUCAUCUUUUCCCUACAACCAGAAAAGUAUGAGCAACAAAUUAUUUUCAAAUUUUAUAAAUGCAUGCUUGACACAUCCCUCCACGAGUCAUGAUAAAUAAAUAAAUAAUAAACCUAGCCAUUAAGUACCUUGUAUAUUUCACAGCACUCUCUGUAUCUUUGAAGGUGUUGAGGUCUCAAUGCAAAUCCAUAGGCGUCUCUGUCAACAUCAACGUGUAGAUUCUCAAAUUCAAACAAACAAAUAUCUCAUUUCCAUACAUCCGAGAAAACAAGUCCAAUCUAUCUUCUGUAUCUCCAGACUCUUGAUGACAAUGACAGACAAGAGAGAUAUGAUAGAUAGACACGAAUAUAAAACAUUCAAAAAGAAACCCAAAAACCCCAUCAUUACCUGGAAUCAACCUCCAACGACCGCCUACUCAACAGAGACAACAACAUACUUUACAAAAACCAGCAAGUCCACCGUCCAUAUCGCUCAGUUUCCACAUUCUAAUAUCCCAAUGCGAAACUUCAUACCAAAACUCAAAUGUCUCAAAUAUUUCUCAGUAACCCACUCAUUCGAAUACCAGCCCAGACCCCACCAAAUCCGAAACAAAAUAAAAUGGGGAGAAAAGAGACAUUAUGUUCAAGAAAAUGCAAGUGAGCAGAGCACGAACAGAUUGAAAACCUAGAAAGAUAGUGAAGCUAUGAUGGAACAAACCGAAGGAGAGAAACAAGGGGAGCAAGAACACGUGGGCACAGUCACAGAAGAAGAAAAUGGUGGGUGUACCUGAAGAGUUGGGAAUUGUUGAGGAGGUUCAAAGCCUUGUCCGGCAUCCUCGGAUGGUCUGGGUUUUGGUGGUUGUUACUUGUCGCCUGAUUCCUGCAACUGUUCUUCUCUUUCCCUUUUUCUCCUCCAACGUUCUUGUUUGGCUCCUUAUUUUAAGUUUCCUUCCAUGAAUUAAUUGAUUUGGACUCACGUGUCGUUCGACUGUGAUGUUUGGAAUCUGAGGCCCAGCCCAGCCACUUCUUUCAACUUUUUUUUUUUCUUAGGGUAAGAUAAAAAAUAUGUGUUAAUAAUCUCAUUAUCAAUAAAAGGUACACAGUUGUUUCUUGUUAUUUAUGAAAGUUAAUUUUAAGGAUAACCCUGUCUCCUUAAUAAACAAAAAUAGAGAAAUAAUAGAAAAAAAAAAAAGAAAUAGAAAAAAAGCAAGUCAACCCCAGAUCGCAUAUAAGAUUUAAUUUCACUGGGUGCACCAUGCAUGCUACAAUUUAGAAAUAAUGAAUGGGUGAGAACUCAGACCUCAGGAGCAUUGAUUCACUUGAUGCGAAACAAAACUGAACAUACAUUAAAUGGAGCAGCUUUUUGUUCCAAAAUGAUCUUAUUUAAUUAAUUUAAUCAUAUAUUAUUUUUCCUUCACCUCAAUGUUUACAAUAAAAAAUGCACAUACAUGGAAUGGUUGAAGAAAAAUGAGUUGUUAUUAUUCCAAAUGAGGCCCCCAUGAAAGCAGCUGUUGCAAAAGACUUCAAUUUUAUUUAUGAAUGUAGCCAGGUAUGGCUGCCAAAUGGCUCUAUUACAUGGUAACUCUAGCCCCACCAUGUAGGCACGUAAAACAGUACAAUAGGCUAAGAGACAUUCCAAAGGGAAAGGGAACCAAGCCCCGUUAUUCUGUAGAUAGUAGAAAACCAGUGCUGACAAUUGACCUGUUUGUUACUGGAAGAUGAUCAUUACUGGGUCUGCAAAGCGGGAAAUAUGUUCAAGAGGUCAGCAAUUUAUAUAUAGUCUGCAAGCACAGAGAAAAUUGAAAAAAGCACACAUAGAACAUUAAACCAGAUUGCUAUAGAAGUAUUACCAGGAAACGCUUCUUGUAAGCUUCAACGAGUUCUUUGGGAUCACAUUUUGUUUGCUUAUAAGCACCAAUCUUGUUCAACUCCUGCAGAAGGAUUAAGGAUAUGAAUGACCAAGAUGAUCGUUGAAGAACCAAGAGGGAGCAUUACAAUAACACGACACACUCCUUUGCACAACACUCACUCAAAAUUAAAAUAAGUAAUUUUCAAACUUUUUAGAAGUACAUUCUAAAUUUUGCCAAAUGCCCGAUUUUUCAUCAAAAGUGUUUUUUUAUGUUAAAAAUGUUGCCUAAAAGUACUACCAAACAGACUCUAAGUGUAGUAAAAAAUUUCUGGGAGGAUCAUCAGUAGAAGUGCCCCAAAAAAUGCUGCACUAUGCUCGGAUUCAAUUAAAUUCUGAUAAUACUCUUUCCACCAAAACCCUUACUAUAGACAACAAAAACCAGCACUCUAAACUCAGAUUAACCUAUUUAUAUAACUGACUUCCAACAAUGACCAUCAUGUCACAAUCCACUCUGAGGCUUAAAUAGUAUGAGUAAGAGUAAAAACCCUUUCAGGAGGUAAGCAGCAAUAACCUGUAAGCCCAAGGCACACUUCUGAACUACUAGCAUGCCUGUGCCUAGGUUUGUGCAACUUCUACAGUUUAUCAAUGGACAAGGAGGGCAUCUGCUUCAUUAUGGAGAAAAGUUACUGCUAACUACAUUUCAUCAAUCUUUCUAUUAACAUUGUAUGAUUUUUGAAAGUACCUCAAUCCAUGCUGCUAGUUUAGGCCUGCCAACUGUGAUGUCAUACUUCCACACUUCGGAUAAGAAGAUUUGGAAUCUUUCAACAAAUGGAAUGUAGGCUAUGUCCACCUGAAAACAUAAUUUUACUUGUGAAAGCUAGAUGAGAAAGCACUUAACCCAAAAUCAACAAAAGGCAUGCAAUGCAGCAUUAAGAAAGAACUUUAACAUGAACGAAAAGUAUACCUACCAAACUGAAUUGGCCAAGGAAGAAAGGCCCAUCAUCAAAUUUAUGAAGGGCAGUUUCUAGAUGAUCAAAAGGACCACCUGUUACAGAUAACUAGCUUCCAUCAAUCUCCUGCAUAGAAUACUGUGUAAUAAUAAAAAUUCCACAAGUAUCAAGGUAAACAACUCACCGACUUCUUUUGUUGGGUCUCCUUUUAAUGAAGUAUAUAAAAUUCUGUUGAAUGUAUCAGUGUAGGAGAUCAACUCCUCAGCAAACUCUCGCUUGCCAGGACCCUAAAAUGUUUUCACAUCAUCACUUUUGUUAGAGAGGCGGAGACAGAGAGGGGCAGCCCAUCAAGGGCACAAACGAAUUUUACAAAUCUUACAUCAGGGCAAAGUGAAGGCCCUCCAAAGUUGCUAUCAACGUAUUUAAUCAAAUCAAGACUCUCUCCAAUGACUUUGUUAUUGUGGUCCAGUGCAGGCACCUAUAGAAGGACGACUUCUUAGUUGAUGAAAUAGAGGAUAUAAUUUGUUAAAUUGAUGUAAAAGCAUGUGUGAUCAUCUGUAAAUGAUCAACUAAUGUGUUUUCCAUAAGCACAAAAUUUUAGAAAACCAAACAUCUCAAUAGGUCUCCUAAUAAAUAAAUGAAUAAAAGCAUAUCGUUUUCAAAGAAUAUUACCUUAUUUUCAGGGUAGACUUUUUCCUUAUACCAUGCAGGCCUGUUUUGAAGGUUAAGAGGAACCAAUUUAAUCUGUUCUUGUAAACCCUGAAAUCAAAAGAUUUAAAGACAACAGAAUAUCAAAGCGCGAAGUUUGAAAUCUAAUACCAAACCAUAAAAGCUUGCAUUACACAACUUAAGAACAGCAAAGCAGAGUUUUCAAGGGAAUCAAGAGAACCAACCAACCUUAUAAUUCCUGGUUAUCCACACUCGCUGGGCGAAGGGGCAAGAAUAUGAAAUAUACAACCUUCAAGAAACAAAUCCAUUUUUAUAAACCCGAAGAGAAAUCCAAAUUUUAAAAAACGACAAAUCGCCUGCCGCCCGCUGUUUGGUUGCCAAGAAAACUCAGUAAAUGAAAUCCAAAGGCCCCGAAAAGAAAAUUUAGUUAACCCAGUCAAACAGUAUCACAACGGAUAAUUGAGCCGAUCAUUCUGUUUCCCAACCAUUGAAACAACAGAAUUUUCUUUAUGUUCUUUCCUUUUACAGGACUUGAGUUUAUUACCAACCAAACAGGGGAUCAGCAAAUGAUCGGAAAAAAAAACAGAGUGAAAAUGAAAGAACCUUGUGGUGCCAUCAAAGAGAGGAGGUUGAUCAGAAGUAGAAUCCAACACCGGAGGCAGAACCUCUUCCACACAUCUAGGAAAUUCAAAACAAAACAAAACCCCAUUAAUUGAAAGAAAUACAAUGCAAAUUUAUGGAGAAAAUUUCCAAAAGCUUACGUAGUGGCCAUGUCUGCUGUCUGCUGUCUGGUGUCUGGGAGGGCGAGAAGCUUCGGGUGCCUGAGAAAUCGCAGUUCUGAGUGGUUUUAUAGGAGAAAUUGAUCCCACGCGAUCGCGAGCAAUGACGCUAUGCGGAAGUCAACGCGCGGCGGAGGAGAGAUACAGUGGGAGGGCGGUCACAAGAUGAAAUCCUGGGCUCUUCUCUCAGCCGUUGCAUUUAAUUACUUUUUGCGAUUUUUAGAAUGACCCGGUCUUGCGAAUUGCUCUCCUAGUUCUUGCGAAUUCCUUUUUUAUUUUUUAUUAUUAUUUUCAAUGUUUUUAGCUUCGCUAGGAAAAAAGAAUAAUAAUAAAUAAAAACUGUAGAAAAUUAAUUCUAUGUUUGAUAAAAUUAGUUCAAAAAAUUAUAUGAGUUUAGAAAAAAUUUUCUAUUUUUCUAUUUUUAUUUUUUAUCUAUUAUUUUUAAAAAGCAUUUUUUUUAUAGGAAAAAGCAUUUUUAGUUUUUCUAAAAAUAAUUCUUAUUUUUUAUUUUUAUUUUCUAAAAAUAUUUUUAUUCUUUUUUACUUAAAAAAGAAGAAGCAUUUGAUUAAGAAAAAUAAAAACUAUUUUUAGAAAUGAAAAAUUUAAAAUUAUAAUGAUAGUCCAUGAAAUUAUUCUAAUAUAAAAAUAUAUUCAUUUGUAAUAAUAAUAAAUAGAAUAUUUAUACCGUGUUUUUUAAAGAUAUAUUUUAUUAUAAAUAUAGAUAUGAGAUAAUAUUUUAAAAUAUGUUUGAUUAUAGAUACAUAUAAGAUAAUAUUUUAUUUACAUUAAUAUUUCGUAUCACAUAAUUUAUUUUAUAUGAUUUUAUUCCUUAUUUCAUUUUCAAUUUUAUAGAUUUAUUUUUUUUAAAUGUGAAAAUUUUAAAAUACUUGUAAAAUAAAAGAAUUAGAAAAGGAAAUAAGAACAAAAUAAAUGAGAAUGUUGAGAGGAAAAAUAGAAUAUUAUUUCACUAAUAGUCUAUUCCAAGCCACACAAAAUUAGCAUCAAAUCUAUUAUUACCAUAAAAGCCAUUACUAGUUUUCUUCCACAUUUCUUCCACAGCCAUUGCUAGUUUUCAAUGAAAUCUAUUAUUACCAUCAAAGCCAGAUAAAUAUCAGUUUCACAGUUGUGGCUGAUUGUAAAUUAGACUGGAACAGACAAAGAGAGCAACAAUGUGACUGCCUGUUGUAAAUUUUAAAAGAAAUCAAUCGACUGUCCCAGCUCCUUUGGCUACUCAGAUUUCUUCAUUAGACUCAACAGUACCCCAGCACCAAGACUUGAUAGUUCGAUUUCCUGAUCUGCAGAAAAAUUCUAACCCAUUUUAUAGGGCGUAGAGUAAGAUGUUGAUAAGUCAACACAACCCCAUCAAUGACUUACUUUCCAGACACCAUCUUGAAUUGUUACGAAUAGAUUGCCAUCAUAACUAGCUGCAACAUUAAGAACAAACAAAUCUUGGACCAUAAACAUCAGCUAGCACAACAUAAUCUGCCAACAACACAAUCAUUUUUAGCAAAUAAAAUAUUUCUUCAGAUUUGAAAAAGAAGGAAAAAGAAAAAGAGAAAACAGUUCCUCAAAAGCCUAGGAGGCUUUCUUGCACAGUUCUCAUCACUGUUGUCAUACAUUCCACUUCAAAGAUUGAAUGUUAGCUAUCAAGUUUAUAGAAAGCAAUAUUAAGAAAACGAAAGUUUAGGAAAAUCUGUGAGAGGAAUGAUUUGAUACAUACAAUCUGACUCCACAAAUCCUUAUCACAAACUACCUUUCUUAUGCAUACUUGAGCCAAGUUGAGUCCAGACUCCAGAGUAAUUACUGGAUGGAAAUGGACGAUGUUAAUCUCAGAGUCAGUACAAAUACACUUGAUCCCCUUUCAUUUCUUUGUAUUUCGUCUCAAAUCCUAUUUUCUAUCUCUUCAUUCUUCAUAUUUGAUUUUCUAGAGCCCAUCUAACAAGGACUGAGCUUGGGCUGGCGUAUACUCAACCUGGAGUUGGAUCAGAAAAAAGGACCUGGGUAUAUGCCCUCCUAGCAUGUUAUGUUUUGAGCCUACAGAAAUAUCCUAGAUUAUAUGGUUAAGAAUGUAAACUAUGUGUUGAGUUCUAACAAUUGUAAGGAGAAGGUCAAAUAUCAGGCCAGUUUGAACCUAAUCUAAGGUUAAUUUCACAAAAGGGCUCGCUCAAGCUGAGAGUACCUUAGAUUGGACUGGGCUGAGCUUGAGUCACUGGCCCCUGCUUCUGGCUAGAUCUCAAAUUUUUAACACACUUAAUAAUUAUUAUCAUCCUAUUAUUUCUUCAUUGAAGUGCUCUCUUCAUUAUAGAUCUUGAUGGUGAUCGGUAGCAUUCUUUGUCCAACAAUAAGCCGGGACAGCAAAGGGAGUAACAGUAGGAACUUGAGCAUUGCACUAGAGGCAAGAAUAUUCAGGCAUCAAGACUGGAAAGUUGGAAUAUAUUUUCCUAUAGGAGGAAAGAAAAUGUUAUCAACAACAACACACCAAUAAUUAAAGCAAAUGUGUAAUGACUAACAAGCAGAAAUCUGAAGCAGAAUUGGAAAACUCCCAUUGAUAAGGAUUCUUAUCUAUAUGGCAGCACAGGACAUGCCAGCCUCGAACCAUACAACCACAAAUUUAUACUGGAGAAAACAGAAGUGACCAAUGCCGUCACAUUCAAGACAUAAUUCCUUAGGUUUCAGAGUGCAAUUUUUCUGAUUUUGGCCAUGUGUAAAACAAGUUUAAUGAUUAUGGAACCACAUUAAGUCAAACUACCAAAAUUUCCAUCUCAGGUUGGAAAAGCUUGACUAGUUCAUAAAUAUUACAAAAAAAAAAAAAACUAUUGACAACCUCCUGUGACGCCCAUAUAUGUAUAUACAUGUCUAUAUGCAUAGAAAGACAAGGUAGUUACCAGUCACAGGAAUGAAUUUCUGGCAUGUCUUCACUACAAAGUUGUUGUAUAGGUCUGUCUCAUCUUCAUCAGCAGCAAAUAACUGUUUAUAAAACAAGAGAAAAAUAGGAAUCGUAUAACUUACUUGCAGAAAUCCACACAGCAGAAUACAUAUAGAAGCAGAAAAUAUGUUAGGGCUGUGAUCUACCUGCAAAAAUAUAUCCACUGGAUAAGAUUGCUAAUAACUUGCUUAAAUCCACAGUGGAAAGAAAAUUAAAAUAGAUAUUGCAUCAAGAAUUGCUAUAUCAGUUUAGAAGAGAAAUGGCACCUUGAAUGAUGAGAACAGAAGUAUUGCAGCGAAUAAACAUAGUAGAACAUGCAGUCAGCAGAAACAAUUUUUAUAACCCAAGGCAAUUCCCAAAUUCAAAGUGAGUUGUAGACCCUCAUUUUUUGUCUAAGUUUUUUUUUGGAGCAUAUUUUUACCACCCCGGGAAGAGCUGGCAGCUUGUUUUAGGAGUGGGGGCCGGUUUCCGGUGGAGCCACGCAUGCUGGGACGUGUGGCAAAGGACUUCCAUCUUGCCACGGGGGUGGUUGAGAGAGGGACGUCUCUGAAUAGAGGAUGAUGGCUGGCAUAGUGAGCUAAGCAUAGGAUGGACAGAGAGGCAGAUUGGAGUUGAAAAGCUGGGGGAGAGAAAGAGGGCAGGGGAGGGGGUGAUAUCCGGAGAGAAAAACAGAAGUUGUAAACUUCAUUGUCAACCCAAAACCAGAAAUUUCAUGUUAAAUCAUAUAAAUAUAACAUGCCGAUUAGAUUAGAUUAGAUUAGAAAAUGUAGACAAACCUGAAUCCAUUCACGGUCUUGAAAAAGUAUGGUUCUUGUAAGGCGAGGAGGAAACCACCUUGCGAUUGGAGACAAGAGAGGGAACAUUUCGUAUUUUCAAGAAAGAAAACUUAAAAAGACAUUUUCCUUUUUAUUAAUUUCUUCAAUGCAUUAGGACCAUACCCAUCGGGCUCUUGGCCAUAUUUGUCUUUCGUCCAUCACAUAAGACACAUAUAACUUAUGCUCUACACACUUGUGACCCAUACUUAAUAAAUAUAAAUUAAAUAUGUAUAGUUGGGUUAAUCAUAAACAAUUAUUAAUGUAUGUGAGUACAUAGCAUCUAACAGAAGUGGGACAGGGAUUUUCAGUUCCGGAGGGGGAAGGUUUUUCAGCAGGGGAGAGACCAGAUAAAAGGAAAAAAAAAAGAAAAAAAACAAAAGCUCGGAGAGCAAGAUUUCUAGAGAGAAAAAAAGAAGAGGAUCAAGAAGAGAAAACAAGAGCACUGACGUCAAUGUGGUUUCAUCCGCGUGUUGCUGCCCCUGCUCCGGUGGCUGCUGCCGCACCAAAAGCGGCUGCUUCUCUGGCUCCUCCUCCCUUUCCGGUAUCAACCGGUUCGUGGCACUGUUCGCCGUCCCUCUGCUUUCGUUUCCUUUCCUCUCUCCCAUUCGUCCCUCUCUUUCCUUCCCUUUCUUUCAUCUCCAUUUUCUUCCUGCGUGCCCACCUCUCACAUCCAGCACAUGUUGCUGCCCCUUCCACCAUACCCAUGCCUUCUUUGCCCGCCCAUGCCGCGACUCACAAAUUUCUAUUCCCAUCCCAUUUCUCCAUUCCCUCACUGCCAUCAUCAACGUGCAACCAUUGUCCCUCUCCAUCAGCUUGACAUCCAUUGAUCUUCGGAUUUGAAAGUGAGGUAAAGCCGUCAUUUGAUCUUCACAGUUGAUAUUUUGAGCAUUGGGUUUUAUUGGUGGGCUCUCAAGGCAUUGAGUUGUGAUUAUUUUUGGGCCUAAGUGGGCUUUAAGCUUUAUUUAUUGAGUUUAGGUUUGAUUAGUUUAUAUUCAUUUGGGCUUUUGUUUUACAUGGGCUUGACUGUUGACUGAAAGGCUUUCUUUUGGGAUAGAAAAUGAGGCUUGACAGGAGCACACGAGUACAUGGCUAUACAUGGCCACUCUUUAUUUAUUUAUUAAUUUAUUUUUUUGGUGUAAAAACUCAAAUUUUCAAAUAAUUUUCAAAACUCCAAUUUAUUUCAAAUUUAAUUUCCAAAACUCCAAUUCUCAAAUUUAAUUUUCAAAACUCCAAUUUUUAAAAUUAAUUUUCACAACUCCAAUUUUCAAAAAAAUUUCAAAACUCCAAUUCUCCAAUUUAAUUUUCAAAAUUAUUUUUUUUAAAUAAAUUCAAUUCUCAAACAAUUCUUCAAAAUUCAAAUUUUCAAAACUUCCAUUUUUAAAUAAUUUUCCAAAAUUCCAAUUUUCAAAUUUAAUUUUCAAGACAUCUCAAAUAAUUCUCCAAUAUUUAAUUUUCAAAACUUUCAUUUUCAAAUAAUUCUUCAAAAUUCCAAUUUUUAAAUAAAUUUCAAAACUCCAAAUUUUUUUCAAAUAGUUUUAAUUACACUCUAGUUUUCAAAUGAUUUUAAGUCCUCAACUUUCAUUUUUCAUUAGGGUUUUAGGUCACUAAAAAUCCCGAUUUUAAAUAACUUGCUACCUUUCUUUUCAAAUAAGCACUUUCACCAAUUUUCUUUGAUUUUAAAAUAAUUUUCUAUUUCUCUUGAUUUUAAAUAAGCAUGAAUAUGAUUUUCAUAAUUCUAAAAUAAUGGAGUUUAUGAGAUUAAUUCAUGCAAAAUCCUAUAGCAUGCUUGCAACUUCUUUAAAUAUAUGCAUUCUAUGGGAUGCAUUUAUGUUUCAUUUGCAAUAGGGUAGUUAAUACCAAGACAUUCCAACAAUGCAAGAAUAUAGCAAAAUCAGAAAUAAAUAAAUAAAUAAAACUUUCUCUAGUGUCAUUAUUUCUUUCUUUCUUUCUUUCUUUUAUGGUGACUAGCAGUAUUAUCAUCUUCUGAUUUUCAAUUACUUGAGGCUCAUGUGCAGAAGUGGUAGUAAGACUGAAUGAUGAUGUGUACUAAGUGAAAGUUUACACCCUCACAAAGGUUUGUAAUUAACCAUCACUUGCAUUGAGAUUCUUGCUUCAAAAGAACUUCUUAUAUAUACCCUUCUUUCUCAUUAUGGAAAAUGGUCUUCAUAUUUACGAAAGAUCUUUGUAACUUGCAUUAUAAUCUUUAAUGUUGGUAACUUCUUUCUUGAGAAUCAUUAUAACUUGAAUGGUGGUAACGUCUUUCUUCAAAGAAACUACUAGAGUUUCUUAUUACUCCUCCUUUAGAUUCACUCUAAAAGAACUAGAUUUACUUAUUAGUUGGACGUUAAGAGGAGAACUUUAUCCAAACUUUUUUCUUGAGGAUCCUUGUAACUUGAAUGUUGGUAACUUCUUUAUUCAAAGAAACUACUAGAAUUUCUUAUUACUCCCUUUUUAGAUUCAUUCCAAAAGAACUAUAUUUUAAAUUAUUUAAUUAAAAAAGAUAAAACGUCACACACGUAGAAAAAUAAUUUUAAUUUUUUUUUUAAAUGAUAUAACACCCUUCAUCAAUUUCCUUAUCCCCAUAUCACACUCAAAACAUUUUUCUAUUUUUCAAAAAAAUAAAAUGCUGGAACAAAAAUAUUAAAUUGAGGGGACAUUUAUAAUUUUGAAUAAAUGAAGGUGUGUGUUUUUUUUUUUAAUUUUUUUUAUCUGUAAGAUACUUAAACCAAAAUUUUCAUACAAAAUAAAAACCAAAUUUAUUUUUAAAAAUUCUGGAUAACUUUUGUUAAAAAUAAAUUUAAACUACCUUACUAAUUACUAUUGUGUAACCUGGAUGAGAGAAUUCACUGUAAAAUAGCAAAGUUGUGAUAAAAAAAUAAUAAUAAUAAUCAAUGUUAGGAUUUUAUUCUUUUUCUUUUUUGUCAAGAAAAUUUAAAUAUAAAAUUUUCUAAUAACUUAUUACUCAAAAACAAAAUCAACAACAUAAAAUCACUUUAUUUGGAUAUAAUAGAAAUUAAUAUAAAAAUUCUUUCGCAUAUAACCGCUAUUUUCACCUUAAAAUUGAUCUAUUUCUCCAUAAAAUCAUUCCAUAAUUUUAUAAAUUUUUCAUUCAAAAAAAUAAAAUAAAAUAACAACACUGAAAUCACAUUUAAAAAAACAAGUUUUUUUUUUAGACACAUUGAAAAGAAAUACAUAAAUUGUACCUUUUUCUAGAUACAUUGAUCUGCUUGGCCAUUAAAAAAAAAAUACAUAAUCAUACUACUUAUCAUUUCACUGUUGUUGGGGUUGAAAAUUGGAAUCCCCAUCACUCUUUGGCUUUAAAUCCUGCGUAUCUCCUUUACUUCCGCAAGGAAAUCCCUGACCAAAAAGAGGGCAAAUUAAAGAUAAGUGAGGACACUGAGGAGCCAAAAAGGGGAAAAAUUUACUACUCAAUUAAAGAUCAAUAAUGAAGCAUGCAUAGCCUUAUAAGAGUAAAUUAAGUUUCAAAGUAAAAAAAGUAAAAAGUAAAAGCGGGUUUUACUUUAAUAAAAAUGUUUUUAGAAAAAUUAUCGAUUAAGUUUUUCUUCAAAACACUAUAAAUAAUUUUUUUUGACUUUUUAAAAAUAUUUUCUAAAUUUUGUUUAUUAUCUUAUUUGUAUUCAAAAAUAAUUUUUAUGCUAAAAAUGUUUUCUAAAAAUACCGUGAAAGGAAGUCUUAAAUUACAUUACAUUAUUUUGGCGCCUCCUCCAAAUGUGUUGCCAAAGGAAUUUGAGCUCAUUCUUUCUUACGGGCUUGACUAGGAAGUCGGUUGCACCCUUUGACAAACACUUGAGCACCAAGGCGCCGGAGUCAUGUGUAGACAUCACUGCAUGCAACCCAAAUCUCAUCUCAUCAAAUUUAAAUACCAGUUGCUCAAAAAUAUCCCACACAAUGUGGCAUCAAGUCAGAAGGAUCGAUGGAAGAAGGAGCGCAAGAUAUACUCACUAAUUACUGGAAUAUUUUUGCGGGUUUUGUGGUUCAUAAUCUUGCAUAGCAGUGCAAUACCUGAUAGACGAGGUAAAUUCACCUCAGUUAAUACAAGAUCAAUAUGAUUGCUUGUAUCUUUUAAUAUCCUCCAUGCUUGCAAUCCAUUCGAUGUUUCUGUAACUGUAAAGCACCAAAUUGAACGUUGGAGACAGCACAAGCAUAACCCAAGAAAUUAAGACCAUAUUUGGUAAUUAUUUUUGAAAGCCAUUUUUUAUUUUUUGUUUUGUUUUUAAAAAUAGAAAUAUGGUAAUUUUAGAUAAUAUUAUUUAAUUAUUUUUUUAUAAUUGUUUUAAAAAAAUAAUGACAUAAAUACGAAGAAUGCGCAAAACUGAUUUUUAAAAUUGUUUUCGAAAAUGCUUGUGAAAGAUAGUGACACUAGCUACACCCAUGUAUGCCAUAUUUGUUGAGAAGGAUAGAACUAGAAGCAGAGAGAGGGAGAUGAGUGAUGAUGACUAACCUUGAUAGCCACAGUUGCGAAGCAAAGCACCGAUUACAUAGCGCGUAGAAUCAUCAUUUUCCACCAGCAGAACACGAGAUUUCAUGAGGACCAACGCCUCGUAACAAUCCAUGGACUCUUCAUCAUCACUAACAUCGUCACCUUCGCCGUCUGCAGAGGGAACCUCAUCUCCAUCCCUAGCUUUAAUAUCCUUCCCAUCUUCCCCGCACUGACCCGGAUCAGGUAACCCUAUCUUUCCAUCACCGUUCAUGUUAACAGUCCCGUUAAAUCACACCAAACCUUGCCCCCUACAACUCACUCUUUAUCUUUACCCUGCAACAACAUCACAGCACAACCCUUCCUCCAUCAAGACAAUAACUUACUACUAUGGAAACUAAACUUAGAGGAUAAGGAUUUUUCAAAAGAUCAAAUUUAAAAUUUUUGAGAAUUUUGUUGUUGAGGAGGGAAUGUUCUUGGAGAAAGAUACUAUGGGUGUGUGCAUAUAGAUAGUGAUUAAUGUUUGAGAUAGACAGCAGCUCAAGGUGUGAGUUCACCAGAUAAGCUCAGACUCAAGAGUAGACUUAGUAGUUCAGAUUCCGGAUAAAAUUAAGUUAAUGCUUUUGGCUUUUUGAGUUAAGAGUCCAGACAAAAUAUUUGAAGAAAAGUUUUUACUUAAAGACAAACGAAAUUAAAACAGCUGUUUUUAAUUGAGUGAUAGUUGUUUUUCCCAUUUUAGAUGUAAGCUUUCAUAUGUAAAUAGAGGUGAUAAUUCUUCUUCGUAUGUCAUGUUCAUUUUGUGUCAUAACAUCAAGUAUUAAUUAAACCAAGUGAGUUAUCCCAUAUACGACAUGAUUAAUGAUCAUGUUAAAAUAUGAGUCUGUUUGACAGUAAUUUUAAAAAAUAUUUUUAAUCUUUUUAAUAAUUAGAAAUUUUUAUUUAAAGAAUUAUUUUUAAAUAUUAGAAAGAUUAAAAACAUUUUUUAAAAUUAUUGUCAAACAAAUUCUAAAUAUGAACAAAACUUGAUUAUUAAACAUGUAACGCAACACAAUAUGCAUAAUCUAUUUAAUUAUCAAGUUGAGUAAGAUUAUAUCUGUGUCAGUGUGUUGUUAAUUCAAUGUAUUUAUAACUUAAUCACCCUAUUUGGUAAUUAUGUUAAAAAGGUUUAUUUGAACUUGAAAUGGGGUAAAUUGAAUGUUAGCCUAUUUGCCCCCUAAUCUUUAAUAAAUCUAAAAUAAUAUUAUUUUUAAAUAUUUUAAGCAUUUUAAAAUUAAGAGAAAUAUUCAUUUUUAGAUGAGUCAAACCUAAGCUAAAUGGGUGUUUAAAUUGUUUAACAUGAUAUGAUUAUUAAAUAGAUUAUUUUGGAUCAAAUUUGAGCACAUGGUUUGACUUAAAUAUGAACUAUUUAUUAAAUAAAUUAUGUGCAUUAACAUGAAUUUGACUUGAACACGAUUAAGUUCAACCCAAAUCCAUAAAAAGCAAGUUGAGUUUGAGUUAGGUUUAUGAAUUACGUCAAAUUUUGUCACCUCUAAUUAUAAGUAAAAUUUUCUUUCUUAAUUCAUUGCAUUGCAUGCUAAGUAAAACUGAGAUCAUCUUGUCAAUCUAACACUAAUUUUCUGAAUUUUGGUAAACAAUUUCUUAAAAAUAAUGAUCAAGAAAAGGUUAGGAUCUAUGUUUUCAGAAGGACAACAAUGAUAUAUAAUUGAUAAUUUUGAUGCCCUUUUCAUAUGUUGAAGAUAUGAAUGAUUGUAGCUUAUUUGAGACCAAGGAUUGUGGCCAGGAGAAUUUGAAGUAUGCCAGUGGCUUAUGACCACAUUUUUGUUGUAUGAUUCAAAGUAAAAAAUAAAAAACAUCAUAUCAGCCAUGAUGUGAUUGGAAAGGGGGGAAUCUUACUCAAUUGAAAUCUAUGAUAAUAUGUGUGUAUCUCUUCUUUCAAGUAGUACCUUGAACAAUAUAGGAAAAAACUUUAUAAAUUUAUAGUUUGAGUUCAAAAAUAAUUUUAUGUUCUUCAAAACAAAAUAAGUAAAUAUUUUUUAUAACUAAAAAUCAUUUUCUAUUUUCUGUUUUUAAAUAAUAGAAAAUAAAAUGUUUUUAAAUAAUAUUUUUUAGUUAUUUUCUGUUAUUUUUUACUUGUUUUAAAAAUGAUUAAAAAUAAAAUAUUAGAUAUAAUUUAAAAAUAAGUUAAAAAUAUUUUAGGUGUUCAAAUAGAUUUUUAUUUUAUGAAAUAUUAAAAAAUUAUUUUUAAAAAUUAUUUUUUAGAGUUGCUUUUAAAAAUAAUUACAAAACUGGUCUAAGCUACCAGUAAAAACUAGUAGUAACAAUGUGGGAUGAUGGUAUGUUGAAAAAAUAAUAUGAGAUGAUGGUAGGUCACUUUUUUUAAAAGAUAAAAAGGGAUUAAACAUGUUGGAGUGGAUUCUGAAAGUAGUGAAUCAUUCACAUGGAGCAGUUCAGAAGGGACGGACACCUAAUUUAUUCCACAGUACAUGCUACCAAACAAAAGGAAAAGUGUUGAAGAAAGAAGAAAACUGAGGUCGUUUCUAUCAUUCACAUGGCCCAAAUUCAACAAGGACGAGCUAAUUAUUCAAUCAAGCUCACUCUUCCCCUUUAAAAGGGACUUGAGGAGGAAUGAGGAUGGGCAGGCCAUUUGUAUUACAACAUGAAAAAGUUAAAAAACUUUAGGGAGAUGGAAAGGAAUCUUGGUUACCCACUACUCUACUAGUUACUAGAAUGAUGUUUAAAGGAGAGGUUGGAGGGUGUUUGGCUAAGUUGGCAAAUGCCAAACCAGUUCCAUGUGACAAAUGACAAUGGUAUUUAUUCCAAGUGCUUGUUUCAAAAAAGAAAUCAUUGGUGCCAUCAUGUCAUAAUGGAAAAAUAACAACCGAUAAGACCCCAUAAAAAAAAAUAAAAAUAAAAAUCUAAGAGUUUGAAAUAUAAAAAAAAAUGCUAAAAAGUAUUUUAUCAAUAGAAAUCCACAUCUAAAUUAUUGAAUUUAUAUUGAGAUUAUGAUUAAAAAAUAAAAAUUUUAAAAUGUUACGUGAUACCAGUUGAUUGAUAAUGCAUUUUCAAUAUAGUACCAAAAAAAAAUACUAUUUGAUAUAGUAAAGAAACCCAAAAUAUAAAAAUAGAUUGUCAAAACAUGAGGGUAAAUACAAUUUAACAAAGACGUACAUAUGAUAGACAUGUUUUGAAGCACAUUGAGAUCGUAAUAUUAAGGUCUUUACAUCUGAAGAGAGUUCUUCAUCACAUCAUUUCUUUCACUCCCAAUGGACUUAAAUGUUUGUUUGAAUACCUUUUUUUUUUCGGUUAAAAUAAAAAAUAGUAAUAAUUUUUAUAUAAAAUAUAACAACUUUUAAAAAUUUACCAUGAAAUAUAAAAAAAAAUUAUUAUUUAAAAUUUAAAAUUUUUUAAAGUCACUUUUAAAAACAUAAUUAAUAUAGAUAAUCACUUUACGUGCACAAAGUUCUACUUUUUAUAUAAAAUAAACUGCUAUUUUUUUUACUUUAAAAAUUAAAAAUAGAAAAUAUAUUCAAAUGGGCACUAAGAAUAAUAGUUUUUGAACCUUUUGUUGGGCAAAAUGAUAGUAACAUUUUGAAAAUCAAGAGCAAUUUUUUUUCUCCUGCAUUUGGAAGCAGUUCCUCAAAAUUUAUAGUCCCAGGUAGAUAAGAUAGCUAAGAGGAAAAUAACUCCAUUCUACGUAAACCACAACCCUAAAUAUAGGGUGUGCAUAUAUUCAAGUAUUCAAUAAUUCUUUGGCUAUAUUCCUGGAAAAUGCUGAGAAAAAAAAAUGUUAAAGAAAAUGAUUUUUUUUUUUAUAUUGGUUGUAUUAAAAAUAAUAAAGAAAUAUAUAAUUAAUUUUAAUAUAAAAUUUAUUUAUUUUAAAAUUAUUUCAUCUUGAUAUAAAAGGGUUAAAUAAAUGAAAUAAGUUUGAAAUAAGAUAUAAAAAUAAUUUAUUAGCUUUAAUUUUUUUUCUUAUACUUUUCUUCUCUAUUUUUUUCCUUAUAUUUUUCUCUUAGGUUGUAUUUGAUUUCCAAAAAAUACCAAGAAAAGAAAAAAAAUAUUAAAGAAAAUGAUUUUCUCAUGUUUGAUUGUCCUAUGAAAAAUAUAAAAAAAAAUCAAUUAUAAUUAAAAUUGAUUAAAAUUAAAUUUAUAUAUUUUUGAAUUAUUUUAUCCUUACAUCAAUAAACUAAAUAAGUGAAACGAGUUUGAAAUAAUAAACAAGAAUAGUUUAUUGAUUUUAAUUUUUUAUAUUUUUUCUUUUUUUUUAUUUUUUCUUUAUAUUUUAUUUUCCAUAUAUUUUUUCUUAAAAUUUUUGGGAACAAACAUAAUCUUAAACUUUCUGAAAAUCAAACAUAACUUUAAUGUUUUACUAACAAGCCCAUUAUCAAAUAGGAUGAAUGAUAGUUUGAAUAAGAAAGGUGACUUUAUUUAAGGCCAAGUAUGUUUGUGUAACUCUUUCUAGAAGGCUAGAAAUGUUGUCCCAAAGAUUUUUCAUAUUUUUUCCAAUUUCAAUUCUAUGAUUAUCUUGGGGCACUAAAAACUAAAAAGCAAAGGAUGUGCAAGUUUCUUUUGUAUUUUUUAUUUUUUAUAUACGAGUUAUGUAUGUUGUUUCUUCUACCUGGUAGUAAAGCUUGACGUGACCCAUCGUCACAUGUGAUAAAGACAGAAAAAUUAGGCCAAAAAUAAACAGCAGUGCGAAUGGAGAAUUCCGGAAAACAAGGUGUGUGCUCUAAGAAAACAGUUCCCAUGCGGUGGGGUUCACCAUUGAUUGAGGUGUUGAAAUUAGCGAGAAGCUUUAAGUCUUUUCUUGUUCUGUGAUUGAGUUACUAUAAUGAUAUACAUCGUCACUCUCAUUCUUAUACUUUGGUUGUUUUACGUAUAAUAAAAUACAUCGUACAAAUGACUCAUCUAUCUGCUGUACGAGAAUAGUGAAUUGCAGAUCUUGACCAAAAACAGUUCACAAAAUGACUUAGGUCUAUAUUAGAAGUAAUGUAAGAUGCGUUUCUUAUUUAUUCAACCAUCAAGGAUUCACCACAGCACCAUGAAAACCCAACAUUCAUUCAGCAAAAUGAUUACAUAACUUGGAUUUCAUAAUAGAAGAGUACUAUCAAAAUGAUUGUCACUCCCAUUGCCACUUCCACCCUUGAAAGCAGAGCUCCGACUAUUACCUUCAGAGUGCAGGGAAGAAGAGAAUAAAAGAUCUUGGGAGGGAGAUGAAGGUCAAUGGCUAAGGAUUAAUGAUAAAGCUGCAUGCGAUGGUGAUUCGAGAGUAUUGGUACUAACUCUAUGCAUGUGCUGCCGAUGGAAAAGGAUGAGGCUACAGGUUUAAUUGAUGUCGUGCUACUUCAUAAAUAUAGUUAUGAAGGUUUAUGUACUCCAUUUUUCACGUGGGACAAUUCCUAAGAUGUGGUUAUGAGUCUAAAUUUUGUGGAUUCUCUCAUAUGAAAAGCAGAGCCUACAAACCUUCAUAAUUGCAUUAAUGAAGGAACAGCAUGAUGAUUAAGCGUGUAGCCUAAUCCUUUUCCACCCGCAGCACAUGUAUAGAUAGCAUGAUCAAUGGCAACUCCUAGUAAAUGUCUUUCUCUCGACCACCAUCACAUGCAAUUCUAUCGUUAAUCCUCGACCUUUGACUCUCAUCUCCUUUCCAAAAUCUCUCAUUCUCUUCUUCCUUAUACUUAGAGAAAGAAAAUAUCCAGGAUGAGUAUAAAUUUAAAAAGAACUGCAUGGGAAGGACUUGUUAUACCUUGCCGCAAAGAGAACCCACGAUGACUGAUUCGACAGAUGAAGGUGAAGUUGGUGAAAAGAUGGUGGCGAGGGUGGCUGUAGUGGUUGGCGGUGGAGAGUAGUGACGGCGGACGGAUCAUGUGGAGCUGUAGUGGCCUGGUGCGUCGUUGCGAAGACGAGAAAGGGUGGGUUUGGAAGGGUCAUCGGAAAUGAAGGUGGGCUGAUCAUACUCCGAGAUUAAUAGGGUUUGAUGUGGUGAAGACGAUGUGUAAGGAGAGAGUAGAGGUCGGGUUCCCCCACCCCACCCCCAGCACACGCUCUCUUCCUGCCAUGAUGUUGUAAAUUUAUAAUCAUCUUAAAAAUUAAAAUAAAAUUCAUGUUUGGGCCAAAAACGUAUAUUUGGUUGCACUUUUUUCAAAAGUUUUUAUUUAAAAAUCAUAUAGGGAAAUUUGUUUUUUUUUUUAAAUUUGAUGUCAAAAUUUAUUAUAAAAAAAAAGUAUGAUUUUUUUUUUAUUCCAAAAUCCUUUUCAACAAAUUUUAAAAUGGAGAAUUAAUAUAUAUCAAUAUUCUCAUAAUCGGACCAAUUAUUAAACCAGAAAAGUUAUAAGUUAUUGGUUUAUAAUUGACCGAGUUGAAGGUUGAACUACAGUCAAAUUAGUGAUUUCAUAAAUAUAUAAUGUAUAAUUUGUAUAUUAUAUAAAAUUAAAAAUAAUAAUAAGAAAAUUAAAAUAUAUAAUUAAAUUUUUUAAUAAUAUUUCAUUUUUAUAUUUGAUAUAUGUAAUUAAAUGAUAAAGAUAAAUAUAAAUGUAUUAAUAUUUUAAAUUUUAUUAAAAACAACAUAUAUAAUAUUUAAGUAUGAAGAUAUGUUUAAAAUGUAAAGAAAAUUAUAAUAUUUAAUUUUAUUUUUAUGUCUUUGUAUUUUAUUAUUUUAAAAUUAUUAUAUUAAUUAAUUUAUGUUAUUUUCAUUAUUAUAACAAAAAUAAAUGUGAAUGUAAAUAUUUACAUUUAUUUAAAUGUUUUAUAUGAUAAAAUACAAAAUAUGUGAAUAUAAAUAUUUACAUUGAUUGGAUAAAAAUUUGAAAAAAAAAAAAAACAUUAGUAUUGUUAUAUAAUUUGAUUUGCAAAAUCAUUUAAUGAAAAUGCUCAAUAGUUCAUGGUCGUAUAUGUGUUAUAUAAAAAUGUUGGGCUUGGUGAAAGAUGGGUUAAAUGGUUUCAUGAGUGAACAAGCCUUGCAUGCAAUGGUUUUGGGCUUGAGCGAUCAAUUUGAACGGAACCAACCAAUUUUGCCCGAUUUGAUAGUUCAACCGUCAAUCGUUCUAUACUAAUUAAAUAAUAAAAUAGUCCAUUAGGGCGAACUAAACAAGAAAAGUCGUCAUUUGACUAUUGGACUAGUCGGUUCGAUCCGAUUUUUAAAUUAUUUACUUUUUGACUUAUUAUUAAUCCAUCCCAUAUUGGAAAUUAAUGAAAUAUAUGUGUUGUAUAAAAAUCUUGCAACCACCUUGAGCUUUCAAAGUCAUCAUGCGUGUUGAGCUUGGUGACAAAUAGGUUAGAUAGGUUUCACCCUUGAAACGGCCUUAGAAUGGUUUACCCAAAUGGUCCAACCAUCGAUCCAAAUAGUUCUAUUCCAAUUCAAUAAUAAAACAGUCCGUAAGGGCAAAUUGGACUGAAAUUUUUUAAAAAAGUCACCAAUUGUCACUCAGUUAGACUAGUUGAUCUAAUUUGACUUUUAAAACAUUGAUAUAUAUUAACAUUUUUUAUUUUUUUACCAAACUACAUUAUCAGUCCUUCAACUAUAAAUAAAAGUUUCUUAUUUAUUGUUUUAUGAUUAUGAAACAUGUUUUUGCUUUUUAGUUUUUAAAACAAAAAAUAAAAUUACCAAAUAUGCUUAAGAGACCUCUUUACAUAAAUCAAAUAGAAAAAUAAUCAUGGUUGGCCUAAUUAGCAUUUGAUGGACAAGACAAGUGAUGCAAAAUUUCUAACCUUCCUCUCCUCAUCUUCUUACAAAUUCAAAGGAAAAGACAUUAAAGUGAUAAGAUUCGGUUUGGACGUACCAAACUUGUUGGCGUAACUACAUUGAUAAAUGAUAUCAAAUUAAAGUCCAUUAAGGUAAAUUGGAUCGAAAAAGUCACCAAUUGUCAAUCAGAUAGAUUGACUCAUUUGGCCUAACUUUCAAAAUAUUGAUACAUAUUAACAUUUAUUUUUCUUUGCCAAACCGCAUUAUCGGUCCUUCAACUAUAAAUAAAAGUUUUUUAUUUAUUAUUUUAUGAUUAUGAAACAUGUUUUGCUUUUUAGUUUUUAAAACAAAAUAUAAAAUUACCAAAUAUACUUAAGAGACCUCUUUACAUAAACUAAAUAGAAAAAUAAUCAUGGUUGGCCUAAUUAGCAUUUGAUGGACAAGACAAGUGAUGCAAAAUUUCUAACCUUCCUCUCCUCAUCUUCUUACAAAUUCAAAGGAAAAGACAUUAAAGUGAUAAGAUUCGGUUUGGACGUACCAAACUUGUUAGCGUAACUACAUUGAUAAAUGAUAUCAAAUUAAAGUCCAUUAAGGUAAAUUGGAUCGAAAAAGUCACCAAUUGUCAAUCAGAUAGAUUGGCUCAUCUGGCCUAACUUUCAAAACAUUGAUACAUAUUAACAUUUAUUUUUCUUUGCCAAACCGCAUUAUCGGUCCUUCAACUAUAAAUAAAAGUUUUUUAUUUGUUAUUUUAUGAUUAUGAAACAUGUUUUUGCUUUUUAGUUUUUAAAACAAAAAAUAAAAUUACCAAAUAUACUUAAGAGACCUCUUUACAUAAACCAAAUAGAAAAUAAUCAUGGUUGGCCUAAUUAGAAUUUGAUGGACAAGACAAGUGAUGCAAAAUUUCUAACCUUCCUCUCCUCAUCUUCUUACAAAUUCAAAGGAAAAGACAUUAAAGUGAUAAGAUUUGGUAUGGAUGCACCAAACUUGUUGGCCUAGCUACAUUCAUAAGUUAUAUCAAAUUAAAGUCAUUCACACAAGAAAUUUUUAUAAAUCAUGUGAUGAAAUAAAAUAAUAUAUGUGGUACACCAACAAUACAUUUUUGCUUAUUAGAGAAACAAAAGUGGGGUGAAUAGUAAAAUUGUGUUUUUUUUUAUUUGUCUUGAUAUUUCGAAUUUUUUGGGACAAAAACAUGUGAUUAGGCGUAGUCCAUGAAUCUUAUACAUGGGGAAUCAAAGGAUGGGCCAAUUAUAACUUAUGAAGUAUUUCUUUACUUUCCUUGUUUCUUAAUUGUCAUAAGAAAGAUGGCAUUUCUACCCUUUUAAGUUGAUGAAAUAGGAUAUUAUUAUUAUUAUUAUUAAGAUGGAAUCAUUAUAGAUUUCCUACCAUCUCCACAUUGUUUAGGCUUUUAGAUGAUGCUAUAAAGGAACAAGUGCAGCUAUUAGGACUAUUUAAUAAGGAAAAUUUAUUACGUGGAAAGGGGAUGAUACAUAUUAUUUGACUAGAUAAGUGGUAUUUGGUUUCUAGUCUUUGCGAUACGUAUUACUGGAAGGUGGUGUUGCAUACACCAAGGUUUAAUGAAGCUAGGGACAUGGAUAGCACUCGUCUCAAGUAAGUUUCUUGAUCUUAAAAUUUGAAAUCAACAAUGACAUAGAAGUUAUGCCUACAGAUAAGAAUAUGAAUCUUAACUAGCUAAAUUCGUAUGGGCAAAGGGGAAAAAGCUAGCUUAUAAAAGGAAGGGCACACAUUUUUCUAAAUGAAAGAACAUUUGCUCCUCAACAAUUGAUCUAAAAAGUCCCACAACUCCUUAAGUGCAUGAAGUGGCCUCCAAAAACUAUUUUUAAGUUUAAUUGUAUAUAUAACUCCGGAAGGGUAAGAAAAUACUUGAAGGUUUUUUAAAAGUCUCAAAUUUAUCUUUAACUUAUUUAUCUUCAACUCAAACUAGUUCGAGUAAAAAAUUUGCUCUAUUGUCAUCCCUAACAAAAAAAAACUAAAAAGCAUUUGAAACUCAACCUCACAUUCAAAUAUCAAACCUUCUCUCUCUCUAGACUUCUCCAUUUCUUCUUGGGGUGGUAUUGGACAGGUGGCUUCUUGUAUGCCAGUAAGAUUUCUCGACUGUGGUAUUGGUGGUGAGGCCAAGAACAUAUAGACAUUGUUUCUCUACCACCAUUGUCUAAGGUUUUUUCUAAGGCACCUGAAAUUUGAGGAAAUAUGAGAUGGAUAUGUUAAAGAAAUAUUUGUAUUGAAGGACAAUAUAUCUCACAUGUGAAAAAAUAAGUUUCAUUUAUUGAAAAUUGUAAAUAUAAUCUCAAUUUGACAUUUUUACCCCUAUACUUUAAAAAAGAAAAAAAAAACUUGAAUUUUAUAUGAGGAUAAAAAAAAUUGAUGAAGAAUAUAUUUCGUAUUUCCAAUAGAUAGAAAUUAUUCUUUUAAAUGUGUAAGUAUUUCAUCCCUUUUAACUAAAUAACCUUAUAUUAAAAGGGAGAACCAAGAGGGAAUGUUAUGUUUGUUUCAAACAAAAUCAAAUGGUCAUGCAAUUUCAUGAUGUAAGGAAAGCUAUAUUUAUAAUUUACUUUAAAUAAAAUAUUAUUAUCUAUUUUUUACAAAAAAAAAAAAGAAAACUAAUUUAUGGUUUUAUUAAAAUAUUAAUAUCUAUGUUAUAUAAUAUUUACUAAAAUACUAUUAUUUUUUAACAAAUUUAUACUUUUAUUAUAAACAUUAGGAUUAGUAUUUUAAUAUAUAUUGAGUUUACAAAUUUUUUACAAAAUAAAAAUUAAAAAAAUCCAAAGUUUUUUUUAAAGAAAAAAAUUCUUAGAAAAUAACUAAAAAAAUCUUCCUUUUUUUUAAUCUUGAAAACAAAAUUUUAAAAGUAAGUUUCAAAAAAUAUAACCAAACAGGUCAUUAGUGUUUUUCUAAAAAAAAAAAAAAAAAGGAGUUUCAUGCUCAUGCAACUUUACUGACCAAUUUGCAACAAGUAUUUAUUUUAUUUUAAAAUAAUAUUAUCUCCAUUAAAUCUUUGUAAAAUCCAUCUUAUUAACUAUUAAAUAAAUAAAUAAAUUCUGAAUACGAAGACACCUGUCGGUUUUCACUUUUCAUUUUGGAAAAACAAUCAUAGCUGAAAUAAUGUAUGGCAGCAAGAUUUGCAAAACCUGGACCAAUCGGAUCACAGGUAAAAAAAUGAAGAAGGGAAAAAAAAUGUCUCCACUCUCUCCCAACAGCCAACGAUCGUCAUUACGUGUUUCUGAGCAUCCAUGGCGAUUUCUCUCUCCACUACGAUCUUGCCCAACACCAUCCAACGCAGGAGAAUCACCAUUCUCCCUUCGCCACGUGUGAGUCGCAAUCUCGGCUUUUCCCUCUCCUUCAGACCCUGCAACGAAAGCAUCGAACUCUCUUCAUCGAGAAGAGUCAUCACAGCCUCCGCCGCCUCCGGUUCUCCUGGCAAGUUCCUGACUCUUCCUUUAUUUUGUUGCGAUAAAAAAUGCCCAAGAAAAAAAAAAGAGAGAAUUUUGAAUUACUGUUAUUUGUUGUUUUCCUUUUUCUUUCUCGGUGACCAAACAGAGAAUUCAACCAAUCCAAAUAGCCGUGUAUGCGGCUUAUUUAAAGGGAAUUAUUUUGUUUUACUGAUUUUUAAAGAAGUUUAAGAUUGGAAUUUUUAUUUUUUCUUCUCGGGUUCAAUUUCUGAGCACCAAACAUAGCGUAAGUUAAAUUAAAUGCUAUUAGAGAGGUAAAUUACAUCCAGUCUUCGGAAGACGUGAACUGGUUUGAAGGCACUUGAUAAUUGAACGUGUUAAUGUAACCAGGAAUUGAAUCUUCCACUGUUAGUGAUGAUACCACGAACUUAUUGGAUAGAGCGCAAGUGUUUGAUUUGAAUGGAAACGGGAUUCCAAUUUCUGAUUUGUGGAAAGAUAGAAAAGCUGUGGUGGCAUUUGCUCGCCAUUUUGGGUGUGUUCUGUUUUUCAGUUUUAUGCAUCCAAUUCAUUAUGAACCUUUGCUUAUUAAAGCUUCCAGAAGCACUUGCACUGAUCACUCUAUUUAUUUCCUUUAUAUUGUUCUUGAUUAUUUACUGCAGAUGUGUUUUUUGCCGCAAACGGGCUGAUUUGCUUGCCUCUCAGAAGGUAAUGAUGCAUAAGCAGGAUGUUUCAUCAUCAUUGUAUGGGCUGUCCUUCUUGAUUUUUAGAUUGAUUUAGCAUUGGUUAGUUUCACAAAAAGUGGGGUGCUCCGGAUUUAUUUGAUACCCCACAUCUGGGAGGCAAGAACUUUUGGAAAAUACUAGAGGAAUUCCAUAUCCACCGAGUGUUUUUCUUGAUUUUUAAUAUUGUCUUGUACCAUGGUUUUCUAGAAAUGCCAUUAGGAUAGGAAGGUUACUUCUGUUUCAGUAGGGAUUUUUUAUGUUCCUUUUGGUGAUGGUGGAUGUUCUUCCACCUAAAUAUUUGCAUUAAAUCCUUCAUUAAACACUUGUUUUCUUUUAUUUUUCUUUCUUUUUUUCUUUGCUUUUCUUCUUUCUUAAAAAAAAAAAUUUGCCUUGGUUUUUGGGUUGGAUGAGAUCAUGAGACCACUCAUUCCCACUUGCAAGUGACGUCUGAACUCUGUACCACAAAACCCAAAAUCAAACCGAUGGUUGUUGAAUCUUGUGCUUGCUUACCGUAGGGAGAUUGGCCGGCAUCCUCUGAGACUAUCAAUGGAAAGUGUUUCAUUUUUGACAGCAAUUCAUCAUUUAAUAUCAUGGUUCUAAUUUGUUGACAGGAUAGAAUGGAUGCAUCUGGGGUGGCACUAGUUUUAAUUGGACCUGGUAGCAUUGAUCAGGUAUAUACUGAGAAAGCUUAUUGAGUUGUUCCUUAAUAUUUGUGAUCGCAUAUCAGCUAAUGUGAUGAGUAAUAUAUAUGGUGAUGGGAUGUAACAGUAUUUGUUGGACUCUUCUUAUUUUUAAUUGCAGUUUAACAAAAUUUCAGGAAAGUUUGACUAUCAAAUUUGGGUUAACAAGGACCGCCUUCAUAAUAAAACUUGUUGUAGUCAUUGAACAUAUCUUGCUAAACAUGUAUUUCUUUCUGCUUCUUCACUGGAAUUGAUUUCUGCAAGCCUCAAAUUGCAAAAAAUUUUCUUUCAUUGCUUCAUGCUAAUACCAUGUACCUUUUUUAUAACCAUUAGCAAUAAUUUUGAUGUAGGCAAAAGCAUUCUCUGAGCAAACAAAUUUCAAAGGAGGUAUGAUUCUGAAAAAACUUGAUAAGUCUCUCAUGGAUCUCCACGAGGCCAAUUUCAAAUGGCAACAUGUGUAUCAUGAGAAGUAGUAAUCCUUACUGCAAGAGAGUAAUUUCUUAGGGUUUGUCUUAUCACUCGUUUGUUAUGCCAUCUCACAGCGAUGAGUCUCCAUAACCAAAGCAAAGUUUUUACUGCUUUAAAGUAGUAAUGAGCGUGCUUGGCUAACUCGGAUUUGCCUGUUCACCUUGUGGAGAUUUCAGGGGUCCAUCCAGAAGUUGUUGACAUUUCUUACCUUUUGAUCUCUUCUGAAAUGUAUAGUUUCUACAAUAGUUUUGUGUUUCUCCUUGUUGCUGCUAGGUAAUAGAAUCUGUUGUUGGUUUCAGAAGUGUACGCAGAUCCUAGCCACUCGUCAUAUGAAGUACUGGGAUUUGUUUCUGGAGUUUUAAGCACAUUUACUCCCCAGGUACUUAAGAAAUGCUGUGUUACGAAUGCACACAUUCUAUCUCCUUGUUUAAUUAUAAGAAUGCUAGCAGCUUAUACAUGUGAUAGUCUCAAUUUUUGGGGUUUUUUAAACUGCAUUUAGCUUUAGUUUCUAAGUUGCUUCCAUAACAUUUUAGGCAGGUUUAAAGAUUAUACAAUUGUACAUGGAAGGUUAUCGACAGGACUGGGGGCUUUCCUUUCAAAGGGAUACCGUGACAAGAGGAGGCUGGUAUGUAAACUAUCUUGAUAAGUGUUAUUAGAAUCAUGCCUGCAUGGUUAUGAUGGGAUUCACAAAUCCUCACCUUGUAAAAGAAAUGUUAAAUUUUAAACUCCUUAAAACUGUGUCUUUUUAUUUUUUAUUUUUUUAUUAUAGCCAAAAAAAUUAGAAAGAUAUUAAGAAGAGCCUUACAAAAUAGAAGUGCAAUUCACAGAGCAUCAAAGGAAAAAAAAAAGGAUAUAAACACAAUAAUCAAAGGGCUGAACAUCCUAACCCUGACCCAAUCCCUCUAUAGAUCAAAAAGAGAGAGGUCAGUCCCCCACAGGAUCCUAGCACAAUCCAAAAAAGGUCCAAGGAGAAAUUCCUUCAACACCUGAGCUGAGACUCCUUUCUCUUGAAGCUCCGUGAUUUUUCUCCCUCCAUAAGCACAAGAAUAGACAGAAAGGAGGCAUCCUCCAAAUCCUUCUGGAUAUCUUCCCCCCACCAGUACCAUGCCCUUAGAAUGUAAGUCUUUCAAUCAUGUUAUCAUAGAGAAUUAUACUCAAUACAGCAUACCUUUAAAUUAAAUGAUGAACAGAAAAUCAGAAGUGCGACAAGAACAGACUAGUUGAUAUCUUCCACUAACUGAAUGCCUCUUAACAUUCCUCAACACGUUUGUGGUGACAACUUAUAACUUGAGUUGAUAACCCCUACAUGCUUAAUAAAAAACCCUAUCUAAACCAUUCAAAAUAUAUUAUGCUUCAAUUACAAAUUUCCAUGUGAAGUUUACUUUUUUAGCCGUUCCCAUGAUGUUUCAUUUGAAUAAAGUGAUAGUAGCAGCAGUAAAUGUACACAGAACUGCCAGAAAAAUCUUGCAAUAGCCUGUGCCCAUUUCAGUGGGCUAAACUAUAAAAUUGCAUGGCAUUGACAUAGAUUCUAGUUAUACCUACUACUUACUUUUUGCUAGCUUUGUUAUAUGUAAGUAUUUUGCUGUAUUACCCAAAAUGAGAACUAAUGAUGAUAGCCAGAAUAUGUUCUUCUCAAGGCCAAUCUCAAUACCUUCUGUUCAUUUUAAACAAAAACAUUUUAACAGAUAUAUAAAAUAGGCUACUUUGUUGUGGUUUUCUCAGGCAGCAAGGGGGAAUCAUUGUUGCAGGUCCUGGUAAAAGUAACAUCUCAUACAUCCACAAGGUUCGUCCCUUCUACUUCUAUCCAGUUCUCUCUCUUUUUGCUUCUAGAAAUAACCAUGUGAAUCCAUCAAUAAGCCUAUCAGAGGAAAAAGAAUAACAAUAAAAAUCAGAUUCUUUUGUUGGUAAUAAAUGAUAAUUGCAAAUACAUUCAUCUACAUAUGUUAAUUUAGCAAUGUGUUUCUCAUCACUUCUUUGAAAUGUGGCAUUUCAAAAGUUGAAAAAUGAUCCGAGUUUUGUUUUAAGGGAUUAUGUCGGCAAUCUUCAUAAUGACUCCAUUUUGGAUUACACAUUCUCAUUUGAGGGAUACUUUGCUAGUUUCCUAAUAUAUCAUUGUACAUUUGUCGAGUUGAUUAGGACAAAGAAGCAGGAGACGAUCCAGAUAUGGAAGAUAUUUUGACUGCAUGUUGCUCAUGAAGCAGGAAAUGAGCCAGUGAGGUGCAUCUUAACCUUCUCUAUGGUUUUACUUAUGUUUACAAACUGUAUCUACCUUUGCUACUGACUUUGAGGUCGAGGAGUAAGAACUAACUGCCUACUUGUGUUCCAAUCUUCAACUCUUUGAGACUGAGUAGUAGCUUGAGGAGUGAACUGGCAGUCUUGCCAAUGGGUGAAGGUUGAGAUUGGGAUUACAACACCAACCUCUCCCCCUUCUUCCCUAACCAUCCACAUGAAAGGAUAACAAUAAUUGUGGAGGAUGAUUCCAUCCAUGGCCCAUGUGACAGUAAUUCGUAAGAGAAACAGAACUGUACCAGACUUAAAAUAAGUUAGAACUAGACUGAAUAAAUACAGUAACCUUGCCAAAUGUUGAUUCCCUAAGCAUGAAUAAUAAUAAUUUCAGAGUUCCUGUGAGCUUGUCCACUGAGCUGACUAGCUAGGCUGCAUAGCUAUCCUGGAUGAACCUGAUCCCUUGUUAGAUGUAGUUGUAAUCCCGCUAAAGGAACAUGACUAGACAAUCCAAUACAUGGUUGGCAUAAUCCAGUGAACCCAUUAAUAUUUGCAGCCUAAUACAUCAUCAAGUAUGUGUUAAGAAAUUGUAGUGUUUUCUGUUCCUCCACAUGCAUUGAGAAAACGUAUAAAAUGGGAAAUUAGAUAAAAAUGACGAAGAAUUUUUAUUCCCUGGCAAUAAUAAAAAAAUUAAAUUUUAAAAGGAAAAGAAGAAGCAAUGCACCUCAGCAGAAGUUCCUUUGUUAUAACUAAAUUUAGUUCAUAAGGAACAAAGUUUUUGGGCUGAAAUUUUGACUCGCACAAGUAGCACCAGACCAUGGCCCUGAAAUUUCAUGAUAGAAAAAUGAUUCGAGCCAUACAAAUUUUACCGCCCAUAAUUGUACAAUUUUUGUGGUCUAUGUAAAAAAAAAAAUAACUGAUGGCAAGGCUCCUGACUACCAGAGAAUCAACUUGGAAGAAUUUGGUAAAAGUCCUGUGACUAAUAGGCAAAAAUUGGAAAGAAAAGAGAACACAAUCUCUAGAUUCCAUUUGUUAUUUAAGUUGCUGGUGAUUUGUUCCUCAUUUGUAUAAAACCCUUUUCGUCUGUAUUUCCCAGUAGCUGUGAUGAAAUAUAUAAUUCAAAUUUCUACAAAACCUUAUAAGACAACUGCUGAUGAGCUGAUCUGAUCUGAUCUUUGGAGUUUGUCUAAUUAGUUUCAGGACUUUACAGGUUUAAAUUAUAAAUGAUGUUCCCAGCCAUUCUCAACGUAAAUAAGACAGGCUAACAUUUGGUUAUUUUUAUUUUUUCAUUACUGUAGUAAUGGGUGGUAGGGGUAGCAAUAGCUGCAGGAGAGAGGCGAUAGCACAAACCAUGACCCACCACAAGCAGUAGGCUUUUCUUGUGCUUACCAUGAAAAAAGAGACACUAGUGUUGAUGAUACAACCUGCUUAUGAACAGGCUUUGACAAAACUAGGAGAACCUUGCCUGCAUUGAUAGCUUAAAAUCUCAGGCUUCAGCAACAAACACAAACUUGAUUCCUUUUAUGUAAUAGUUCAGAUUUAUGAAUUCAACUUUCUUUCUCUGUUUCAGGCAUUUGCAGAGUGAUGCUGAUUUGUCAGGAGAUCACCUUCCUCGAUGGCAUCUGAAGCAAGUUCUGUAGAAACACGUAUUUUGUAUUAAUGUGAAGCUGUUGAUAGAGAUAUAUGUACAAAAUUUGGCUUCCAAACAUGCUGAUAUAAAUUACUUUGUUGCUCUUUUUUGUAGCCAUAUGAAUUUGUCUGAGCCAUGCAUAGUAUGUGAAGGAGAGAAAAAGAUCCCUGGUCCCUGUUAUGAUGCUAGCUCAAUUAAGAGGCUUGUCUUACCUUUUUGUUGUCAGCCCAGCCUCAUUCUUUUCUUUUAAGGCUAUCAUAUUUUAAAUAUAAUAUCCUCAUUCAGUGACAAGAAUUUGAGAAAAUUAAAAUAUUAAUAUGAUAGGUGUGGAGUGAUUUUACAUUUAAAUAUUAAAGUUCCAUAAACCCCCAAUUUUCAUUUAAAUUAAAUCAUAUUUGAUACAUGGCAGAAAUUGGAAUAUUUGAUGCGCGUCGUGCCCACAGGCAUCUUGCGUAGGGACCCCUGCGUACCAUUUGACUGCAGCCUUCAACGAGUGCUCUCACACUGCUUCCUGAGCUUUCCAUUCCUGCUGUUGAAACCUGCAAUUUUUCUUUCUUCUAUCCUGCUGCAUGCCUGCAUCCACCACCUUCACUGCUGUUGCUGCUUCCCCAACUGUAACCAUCUGACAACAGCCUUCAUCUAGUAUCCAGAGGAAUUAUAUUCUAAGUCUCCAAGUGUUGUACUAUUCUUGUCAAAGGUGUGCACCUAAGGCAGGUUUCUUUGACUGUUGAAUCCUAGAAGUAGGACGCCAGUUUCCUACCGCACGGAGAUUGAUACCCUGAGGAGGGCAAAUUUACUUCAGGGAUAGAGCAAUGUCACGCCUCAGCCUAACAAUCCACUAAGUAUCCUUUUCAAUUUGUUAUGUUUCUUCUUCGUUCAAUUUUGGGCUAGAUCAAGUUUGCUGAUUUAAUCUUUUGACCCUUGAACCAUCACAAUUUACCUCAAAUGCAGUCAUUUCCAAUUAUGUCUUUUGUUGCCCUGGAACUCAACCAUUUAUCUUCAACUGGGCUGUGCUUAUUUUUUGAGCAUGUCUCUUCAUCCAGCAUUCUGCACAAAUACUUGGAUUUUAUCCAUUUAGUGGAAACGUGGGACAAAUUUGAGGUACGUACAUAUGUUUGUGUAGUUGGUUUUUUUUUUUAUUUUUUUCAUAUUUUGCUUUUGUUCGCUCAAGUUCUUUACAUCUUAUCCACUUUAUUAGUUAUCAUCUACCCAGUGGAUUCUGAAUGUCGCUCUAAAACCAUAAUCUCCUCUAAAAAAUUACCUCAAUGACGCGUAACGUGGAUGAGAGUGGAUUCAAUGUAAAUUAACAAAGUUGUCAUAAAAUAACCAAUGUUCUGUUUUUGUUCAUUUUUUUUCUCCUGAUUUCAAGAAAAUUUAGGUCUAAAAUGUUUUUAUGAAUUGAUACUAAAAAAAAUUAAUCUACAGGGUGAAAUUUUACCAUAUAUAGCUAUUUUUGUUUCAUAACUCAUCUCAUUUAAGUUAUUAAAUAAAUUAAAUAUAUUUAGCAAAAAUAACUUAAUAUUAUAAUUUAAAAUUAAAAAAUAUUUUAAAUAUUAAAUCAAAAUAAUUAUCUUAUUUUUAAUCUCAAAUUAUUUUUGUUUUAUUUGUCCAUAUCUAAUGACAAUAUAUUUAACAAUCAUGAGUUUCAUCACAUGACUCAUUUUUUAUAGUAAUUAUUUUAUUUUAGGGUUAUCUGAUAUAUUUAAAACACUUUAGAUAUGAAUGUUUAAUGAAAAAUUUUAUUAUUUAAAAUUAAUGAAAAUAAAUAUUAAUUGAAAUUAAUAAUGAUAAAUAUUAAUUAUACUUAAUAAAGAUAAAUAUAUUAAUUUAUAACUUAAAAUAAAUUUUAAGUUCUUAAAUAAUAAAUAUUAAAUCUCCAUAGAUGAAAAAUGGACAAAUAUUAUCAUGCUUAGUGGCCAAACUUGGAAUUUAUAAAAAAAUGACACGUGGAAAAAUGGGGGUGAGGUGGUGGUAAGCAGUGAAAAUUGGGAUAAAAUUUAAAGAAAGAAAUGGUGACAUAGAUGAGAGAAAGAUUAAAUGUGUGACGUGGCUUAACUAAAUUGGCCAAACAAAUAAUUUAAAAUUAUCAGUGAUUACGGUAAAAGAGUUGCAAUUAAAUGCAGGUGACUAUGAAGAACAGAGAUCAUCUGCUUGGAUUUAUAUUCAAAUCGGAUUAAUUACCGAAUCUAAAAUGCCUACAGUAUAGCAAUCAGUGAUCAUUACCCCUCAUUUUUCUUCUCAAAAAUAAAGCUUCAUUAACCGAACGACAAAAAGAAUAAAACACGCUAAACCAAUAUGCCAUGCCAUGCCAUGUGCAAAUAGCUUACGGGUUCAUAACUAUGAAUAUUUGUGGUUACCGUCUUGUCGGGUUCUAUAAUCUACAAUUGGCACCAUAAUGUGGAGUCCCCCAACCAUGUAAAAAAUAAUACUAAGACGAAGUUGGGAGCUCUCAUAAGUCAUACCAUGUAGCAAAAACAAAAACUAUCGCGGAGUUGGCCUUGCAAUAGACUCAUCAAAUGACAAGUAAUUCUCAGUUGGACCCACAUCAAUGCCCAUGUUGAUGGAAGAAUGAAUAGAAUUCCUUGAUGCAUCUGAGUUGCCUUCUCUUGCUGCUUCUGCUCCCCUCUCAAUUGAGAUUGCCUCUUGGAUUUCUUUUAUCACUUCUGAGAUUGGUGGCCUCAUACUCCCAUGGGGUUGGACACACAUCAAAGCUUUCUCAGCUAUCUUCCACAUUGAUUGGAUGUCAUAUUCAUCACGUAAUGAAGGAUCAAUGAUACCUUGGAUAUCCCCACUUUCAAUGUGUAACUUUGCCUGCGAUAUAACCAUGAGAGAAGAUCAGUGAAAGCAAUUUGAUGUGUGGACAAGUUAAAUGAAAUUUCUCUCAACCCCAUCAAAUCAUCAUCUAAAUAGUCCUUCCCCCACCCCAAAGGUUCUAUUUCUAUCCACGACCACUGUUUUUUGGUGCUGUUGGUAAAGCUAAUUUCUAUGAUCUUCUCCAACACCAAACCCUUCUGUUGGAGAAAAAAAAGUACAAAACAGAAACAACAAAGACAAUUUUAAGGCUCCAGAAACUGGAAAUUGAAGUGAAGAAAAAUAAAAUCAAGUUUAAACUUAUAGUUACUGAAUUUUUCUUCAAUUAAUUCAUAAUUUUAUUCUUCUUUCAUGCAUAAAAAGAAAGAAAUUAGAAACAUAUGAACAUUUAAGGCCUAUUUUGUAAUUUUUUUCAAAAACAAUUUUUUAUUCUCUAGAAUAAAAAAUAAAAAAAAGGAAAACAUGUCUGACAACUAUAAAACAAUUUUUUGUUUAAAAACAUAAAACAAGGUAUUUUCAUAUAAUAUCUUUUAGUUGUUUUUAGUUGGUUUUUGAAAAUUAUUUUAAAAAAUAAUUAUACAAAUACAAAGAAUGAUAAAAAAAAAAAAAUGAAGUACUACGUAUGAAAGUAAUUUUUAAAGCAUAUUAAAAAAGAUAAAAAAAUACGUUAACAAUAUUUUAUGUUCCAAAACAAAAUUUUAUUCUACAAAAAAUCAAAGAACGGUUUUCAAAAAUUGUUCUAAAAAAUUAUUUUUCAAAACUAUUUUAAAAAACAUUUCCCAAAUAGAGCCUUUAUAAUUUCAAUUAUAUUUCCUUUUUCUUCAUAUUUCCAUGAUAAACCACAUAAAAAAUUUUGAGAUCCUUUUUUUUUUUCCCUUUCCUUUUCCUAGUACCUUUUGAUAUCCAAACAAAGUGUAAAGAAAAUUGAACAUAUUGAAAACAAUAUUUUGACAACUUAACCAACAGCACAACCACAGGAUUUUGAGGGGACCUGACAUUGUGAAAUUGAUGCUAACUAACCUUCAGCAGAUAUAACUUAAGAGCAAUACGAUUAAUAGAGUUUAGAGGACCUACUUAGCCAACAGUUCCAAUAUUCCAGCAUUUUUUUUGUUUUAAGUUUUAAACCAUACUUACCCAUUGGACUAUGUUACGGCAGUUAACACCAAAGCUUUCAUUAGAUAUUGCUUCUUGACCAGAUAUCAGCUCAAGAAGGAUGACGCCAAAACUAUAAACAUCACUCUUGUCCGUUAAUUGCUGGGAAAUAUAAUACCUGCAUAUUAUUAGAGAUUAGAAAUAAGGUGUGUUAAUGUAACAAAGUGAAAACAAGGGAACUUGAAAUCAGGCAUCUUAAAUGCACCCCAUUCGAUGGUCCUGUUUGGAAGCAGAAGUAAUUACUUUUGCUCUAGGGUUAAUUUUAUGAUUAGGAAUUCUAGUUUAAAAACAUUUUAAUCAAACAUAAAGAUAAUUGACAUUUUUUAGAACCUUCCCUUAUUGCAGUCGAAUAAAAGUAAAGAUUUUCCUACUUUUCAAAAAUCAUGCUAGACCGUGUGUGGCCCAAGUUUAAGAAUUCUACUGUUCUACUUUUAACAUUUAAGAAGCCAUCAAAAAAGGCUUAUAACAACUAUUCUAUGUAGGAUAAUUCUGAAAAGGUGAAGGCAGUAAUGUCGAACACUGACGGUUUGAUUCCACAUGGCAAAUAUUUGAAUUAACUUAGCUUCACUUGUUUCUAGUUUCCAUAAAAAUCAUUUCAUGGAGAAAACAAAAACAAGGUGGAAAAAUGGUUACAACCAGCAAAACGUUGCUAAGGAUGUAUUUUGAUGUUGGAACUGGACAAGCCUAGUUCGAGUUUGUCCAUUGAAAGAAAAAGAUCCACCUGGAGCCAUUAGAGAAAUAUAUUAAAACAUACAAAAUAAAAUAAUAAGAAACUGAAGCAAGAACAACCUAAUUCAACUGAACAGAACAUCAAUCCCAACCACUUGGGACUGGCUACAUUUAAAUUAUUUUGCCACUCAACUCCAGAGAAGCAUACCCUUAAUUUAAAUUCUUAGGUAUCUUCAACUUGAAUAAAAUAGUCCAAAUUGAUGGUAGACAACCUUCACUCACUUUUCUUAAAAAUUGACAUCACUUCUACCUUCUUAAAAAUGCACUCAGUCCUGUUCUAUUCUCUCUCAUAGUGUCAGUUAAUCAUAUUAACAUCUUCCUCAGCUAGAGUUACUAUUGGUACAAAUUGUACUAAAUUCAUUCUAUUAAAUCCUAAAAUGGUUUUAUUUCAGAAGUUUCCAGAAAACAAAAAUAGUUUAAAUUUAGAAAUAACCAAAUACACAAUGGACCUUUUUAGAUGCAAUUGUAAAACAUAUAUAUAGAGUGAAUAAAAGUACUUGAGAAGGAUAAGGAGUCCUCCCCAAAGUUACAAAAACUGAUCAAACAUGGCCAAACUCUACCAUAAUACAAGGAGACUUAGCCAACCAGUAUGGACUAAAAAGAAAUAUAAAAGCCUCUCCACUAGCCCAUACAAAACUCAUCUUUGAUGCUAUUCAACCGCUUUUGUUCUACAGACCAAGGACCAAUCAAAAUUGUAAAACAUAAUAGAAUAUUUAAUUUCCAUGAGACACAAACUUGUAGGUAUUUAUGAAAAGAUUGCCAAAUGAUCCAUCUUUUAAACUGCUAAUCUGAGACCAGCCUAGUUCUCACAUAGCUGCCAAAAGAUAGUUCAGGGUUCUAACUUUGUAAAGGGUGCCUAGCCUAUGGGGCUAAGUAAAUGUGUUCUCCAGAAAAAGAAAACUGCUAAAGGAAGGGCUAGAGAUCAGCUUUUUUCAUAAAGGAGCCAGUUGAAACAUGGAUUUCUACACAGAAACCACAUCCACAAAAAUAAAGCCCUUCUCACUACUUGAUUAUGCAGACACCACAGGAAAAGUAAACUUGGAAUCUUACAUCAGCAACUCCAGACCCAAACUUCCAUAACUUUUCAAGUUUUCAUUUCUUUUCUUAUGUCUUCCUUACAACCAAAACUUAGCAGUGAGGAAAUGCCCAAAUUAUUAAUUGUGUGUUUAUAAGAUAAAGAAGGGUUGUCAUUCACUUCUAACAAACUCUCAUCUUUUGGUGUCGCAUCUCCAGUAAAACAUUAUAUACACCUGCACAAGCAACUUGUAGAACAGGCCUAUAUAGUCCCCCAUCAUCAAAAUUUCAUCACCAAUUGUCUUUGGCAAACACAGCUUAAAUAUUCUAUAUUUUCACAUUCAAAGAAAAUUAAACAGUUUUCACGUCUUGAACUUGUUCAUAUUAGAUGCUCAGGCAUUAACUAGAAUUUUAGCAGUGAGACCUGUAUCCUUACUCCAACAAAUUGGUUAAAUGGAUGUCAGAAACCAAGACAAUGUCUGGAUUGAAGGGAGAGACAAUGAUAAUAAGUAUAUAAAGGAACUCACUUAAACUUACUAAGAACAAUGGGGUCCAAAAUUUAAAUUAUCCCCAUGUGUAUGUAGUAAGCACAGAUUCACAUUUGAAGGCUAGCAGAUUUUCAUGACACAAGUUUUCCUUAGGAACAGGAAAAUGAACCCUUUUCUUCUAAACAUUCCUGAACAUAUCCAAAUCAGUUUCACAUUUCAUACUGAAUUGUAUAAUUGAACUUUAUGACUUUUCAAAGUCAGCUUACACAAAUCUGAAGACACUUUUUAUCAACAAGAUGUACCAUAGCCAAGCACAUGAAGAGCACUGAAUGCUUCAGACAAAAAAUAUAGCAGCAGCAUAUUCAACUCCUUUUCAAAUAUGGUGUUUUAACUUGAUCUCAAAAAAUAAAAUAAAAAGUAAAAAAUAAAAAAAUAAAACAGAAAUGUAGAAGAUACAUGAGAAAAGGCCUUACUCAGGAUCCAGAUACCCCACAGUGCCACGAACCACACUCGAUACAUGGGAUGAUCCAUCUACUGCUAGCUUUGAAAGACCAAAAUCUGAAACCUUUGCUUUCAUGUAUUUGUCAAGAAGAAUAUUGCUACUUUUCAAAUCCCGAUGAAUGAUGGAUGGAACACAUCCUGUAUGAAGGUACUCAAUUCCUGAAAACAAGGAGAUAAUAAGCAAAUUAAUUCCUCUGAAAACAUAAACUUGUCAGAAAAAGGAGAAUUUUCAACCCUAGCUUACACACCUUUAGCCGCAUCUUCAGCAAUCUCAAGGCGCUUGAUCCAACUGAUAGCUCGCUCACGUGUCAAGGGGCCUACCAAAAUUUUGUGGGCAAGUGAGCUGCAAACUUAUAUUCCCUCUAUUCAAAGAGACAAUUUACUCACCAUAAAGAUGUUCCUUCAGAGUUCCAUUAUGCAUAAACUCAUAAACAAGCAUACUUCUGCCUUCUUCUUGGCAAUACCCAAGAAACUGUACCAGGUUUCUGUGAUGGAUUCUUGAAAGAAGGGUCACCUAGGUUGAUGGUAGUAUGGAUCAAUAGACAAGAACAAGCUUCAAAUGGUUAACAAAGGAAACUCCGUAUGGUAAGCUGAAGCAUUAAGACAAGUGAAACAAGUUUUAUUGAAUAGGAAAGCAAAGGGUUUCAACUUUCUUGCUUCCGUGCUAGAUCAACAUGGUUUCUCACAGCAAGAGAGAUGACAUAAGCUUUAAAUAUCCAACCUGUAUUUCCAUAGGAACUUUCAUAAUAACAAGGUCUAACUGCUCUAGUCUGGUAACCAGUUUAGACCAGUUCCACUAUUUUCGUUCUUUUUUUCCUUUUAAUCUGAAACAAACUAAUUAUUUAAUAUAAAUUUUGAAGUAUAAAUGAAAGAUGAGAAAUCCUUCCAAAAUGUACAAAAGCUAUUCAGAAAAGAAGAAAGGGAGUGAACUUUUUUGAAUAAGAACAAGAGGAAAGCUAUAAUAUAACAUGAAUUUGUACAAUUAGAGUAAUUCUACACUCCUCAAAGGGGUAAAAAAAUUCCCUACAAAAGAAGCCUAACACCUGUCUCCUUGUGUUACUAAAUGAUCAGAAACUGGAUUAACUAAAGAGACCAAGAGAAAGAACACAACCCAUGUUGCCAGCAACAUUUAGAACUUUGCUAAAGCCGCCCAUCAUACCUUCAAGGCCAUCUCUCUAAUUUAGACACUCAAACCAUCAAAAUAGCAUAAUUCCCUUCCACUCAUAAGUAAAAAAGACAGAGAGUCUUAUCUUGUGCCAAACCCUUCAAAACUAAAAUCUUUGCCUCAAUAAUGAAGCACUCUCCAACCGUUGUGAAAAAACUCUCAACUUUGACCUACAUACCAAGUUACAAUCAAGUUGUAGAACACUAAGGUAAGUAUCAUCAAAACCAAACUAGAUUUUAUUUUCUAAAAACAGUUUUCACAUUUCUUAAUCAAACACGUUUUCAAAAAAAGAACAAAUAGAAAAUAGAAACUGUUCUUAGAAAAUGAAAACUAGAAAACAUUUUCCUAACCAAACGCAACCCUUAGAGCCUCCAUUGUUACUAUAAAUAAAUAGGGAGAAGGGGGAUCCCCUUACCUCAAACCCCUAGAGUUCUGAAAAAAGUUAGAAGGGGUGUCAUUAACAAGCAAAGAAAGCUUGGUAUAAAUAUAAAAGGGUGCAACCUAGGACAAUAUAGAGUAAGUUCAGGUAAAAUUCAACCCAACCAAACUCAUGACUUCUAGAGGUCAAACCAACCUAAGUGAGAGAGGGAAAAGCACUUGACCCUGAGUGCUUAGAAUGAAAAUUGUUGUAGCUAUAAAUCGGUCUGUAGAAGAGACAAUAGUUCCAUCUUCUAUUCCUUCAUAAAGUUGAAGGUUAAAGGCAUCUAUUAAAGUAGACAUCUCAGAUGGACAUCAAAAGAAUUUUAAGUGGCUUCUAUUUUUCAUGAGACCAGGCUGUUUUAUCUGGUGAGUUCGUGCUGCAUGGUAAGGAAAGCCUCUCUUAUGAUUAUUUUCUCUGUUCAACAAAAUAAAUGACAAAUAGAAUAAAAAACAAGUCUUGCACAUGAAAAUAAAUUCCAAUACUUAUAAGCAUAUGAAUGAAUUUCUGGGUCUAUGCAUACAAUGCUGUUUGCAAGAUCACUGUCCUCAUCAAUUAGGCUGACAUUACCAUAUCAAAGAAUAUGCCUUGUUUCCUUCCAAUUCAAUAGCUGUUUCUAAAGAGUGUCCAUCAUUUCAUGAAAUAGAAUCAUGGGAACCAUCAAUGGUUAUACUGAGGAAUUGUGGAAAAACAAACAUAGAGCAAAGAAACAAGGAUAGUUGAGCAUCCAAAAUAGAAAGGAUGAAAAAAGACAAAAAAAAAAGAAAGAAAUAGAAAAGGGAUCGAUGGGAAAGCUACCUCAUUUGAAAAUUCUCUAUUCCCCUGAUAGGAGUUAUUGAUUAGUACUUUGACUGCAAUUUCUUUUCCAUCUUUCAUUUUUCCAUAAUAUACCACUCCAAAACCCCCAGAACCAAUUUUCUUCUCAAAUUUCCUUGUAGCAUCUUCAAUUUCAGAUAAACUAAAGCAAUUUGCAGCUUCUGUGGCAGCAUCAUUCAAGGAAGAAACUAUCCUUUGAGCAGGUAGUCCAUGUCCAAGCUGGUCUGAUACAAAUUCAUAGAAAAACCCUGUUACAGACACUGACAUUUCAAUAGAAGAGAAUAAGCAAACUUCAAGAUUGCUCACGCAUACCCUGUUCAUAGUAUCUUUUCUUUCCUUUGUGCAUAAAUAAGCAAGAUGCAAUAGUAGCUAUAAGCAGAACAACAGCCCCAACUGAGGAUCCAAUGAUAAUACCAAUGUGUCUACCUCCUGUGCUCCCUUUAUGAAGAUUAUCAUUUCCUGAGUAGCUGUCAAGAAAAAGUAGGAAGCACCAAUGAAAAUAUUGAUGUCCUGAACUAAUAAAUACAUGUAAAAAUGAGAAAUGAGAUGGAGAACUGGGGCAAAAACUACAGCAUGAGCAAAGUUUUGAUUAAUCUUUGUAUACAAUUUACCUGAAAAUGACAAGUAAAAUCAAAGUACCAGUAUGUUAAAUCAAAGUCGAGAUUGUUGUGUGCAGUCACUGUGUAUGAUGGGGAACAACAUUGAAAAUAUUCUUUGAAGACUUACAAGAGAAAGGUAAUGGCUGGUUCCAAUGCCUAACCCUUAAAUUAGGUUCUUGAUCACAGUUUUAAAAUCUAUUCAUAUUUGGUUUAAUUUGGAUCUUGCUGACUUAAUUUUCUCCUUGUAGUUGACUCCAGCAUUUAGCCAUCUUUUCUUGUUCUUCUCUUUCUCCUCUUACUUCUUUAUUUUAAUCCUUUGUUAUUAUGCAAAUUGUUAUUCAACCAUUCUUUAAUUUGAAAAUAAAAUCCCAACAGUUGUGAAAAAAACACAAUCCCAAAUUUCCCUUGCUGUCCAGAAAUUCCAGUAGGUCUUUCCUUUUAAAUUCAACCUGGAAAACAACUUAAACCAUGGCUAAUUUAACCCUUAAUCCAUUAAUAAAUUCUAAUUCCACCAUCCCCUUUAUGAACCAAAAACCAAAAGCCCUAGCAUUAUUUGCUCAUAGGCUGCUAUUUUAAGGAUUGUCCUACAAAAAGGGAUGCAGUAGCAUACAUAGGUACAGGUCUGUUUAUUGCACACCAAACAAGGUGGGUGAACCAAGUCAAUAUCACUGAAGAACAAGUUAACCAGCGACUCAGGCAAAAAAUAUAUACAUAAAUGUACAUAAAUAACAUUAUGAAAUUGAAACAUGAAAGUAUUAUUCAAAAAUCAUUCUUCUUUUUCACCAAAUUUUCAUGGUAUAUUCAUCAUACCAUCAUUACAAGUUAUGUGACCCACUAUAAAUGGCAUAAAUCCAGGGAUUACAAUCGUCUAAAGCUCUGUAAUGGAAAUAGGGGUUAGAAAACCAACUAUAACCACUGCAAAGCAAGGCUCCAUUUUUCUUUUCUUUUCUUUUCUUCUCUCUCUUUUUUUAUUUUUUAUUUUUAUUUUUUUGUGCUGUGUCAUUCACACCAGACAUGUCUGUCAAACAAUUUUUUUGAAAUCUCCAUCUCAAGAACCUCAUAUGCAUAUCAGACACCAAAGUACUAUAGAUUGAAAUGCAUUGUUUACGGAAAAUAAAAAUAAGACAAAUCGUUGGGGUACAUAAACUAAAACAAUUUUAAAAUAUGCCUAUAUGAGAUUAAUAUUUAAAAAUCUAAGCUAAUCAGUGAUUUCCACCAAUUUUCAACACACAACGUUACAUUUUACGAAUUUUAAUUUUCUACAUGUAAAGAAAAUG